This 56463-nucleotide long non-coding RNA is filed under the name Ananas comosus (pineapple). Its description in RNAcentral is "long non-coding RNA (ACOM_LNC008218)". The record is from RNAcentral. Lineage: Eukaryota; Viridiplantae; Streptophyta; Magnoliopsida; Poales; Bromeliaceae.
AGGGGUUUUGGUUCUUGACACUUGUUACGGCACCGUAGUCUCUCCAAUCAAUACUUUGAGGCACCGCGGAGAUGUCUACGUCAUCAAACGACACCACUGGCUCUCUCUCGAUAUUUAGUGGGCGAGAUAUACCACCAGUAUAUUGAGCAACAAAUUCGUUAUUUGUCAUAUCGGUAAACUGAUUGAUGCCGAGAGUGUACGAAUUUUUAUUGCGACUGUUAAAGGUUUCGAUAUGGUUCACGUUGUUCUUGAAUAUCUGAAACCGGCGCAUCUUCUCAUCGUUGUCCUUGUAAACUCGGCCGUACUCCACCAUCCAUUCUUCAAACCGCUUCAUCAUGGGAUCACUGGGUUCGUCAGCAGAAGCUGCCGAUGGCGAAGCCCACAUCACACAGAGAAACAAGAAAAGAAACACGAGUUGAACUUUCCAAGCCAUGCUUAUGUAGCACUAAAUAUCUGCUAUAUGUAUGAGGAAAUUGGAGAUCGAGCUACAAGAGCUUUUGUUGCUGAGAGUAUGGUCUCAAGAUCGAGUUUAUAUAGAAGUUCGUGCCUUCGAAUGUAGGGGGGAGAAUUAAUGGGUGGAGGCCUACAAGAUGUCACAAAUCGCCAUCAAAUUAAGAUUAAAUAGUUCUGGACGGCUUGCGACACCACGUCAUGUGGUCACUAGUGUAGAUAUUAUUGAAAUAAAAAUUUGUAUAAAAUAAAAUAUCAGUUUGGUAUGAAAAAAUAAUAAAUAUAGUCUAUAUUAUAAACAAACACUUCUAAACAAAAUAAAACUAAAAUGAAAAAAAAAUUAAUCGUUCCAAUAAAAUUAUUCAAGCUUGUUAAAAAAAAAUCGCAUACAUACAAAUGGAUGAUUAAAAUUAUUUUUAUAAUACAAUAAUAAGAUAAAAUAUCAUAUAGUAGUUGAUAUGAUUAAAAAAAAAAACUCACAAUAAUAUGCAAGACUAUAUAUAUAUAUAUAUAUAUAUAUAUAUAUAUAUAUAUAUAUCGAGUUGAGUUAGAAUGCUAUCGAUAGCGAACGGGCUCUGUCGCCAUCCAUUUGUUUUCGAUGAUGGAGCCUUCAAAUCGACAAUCGGCAUCUUUGAACAUGAUUUAUAUCACUUGAAAUACUGAGAAAUAAAAUUUUAAAUCUUUUCGAAAUCAUUUACCUAAUGAUCAAAGGGUUUCAAAAUUUGUAAUUUUAAUAGUAGAUGUGAGAUGUUUUCUCGUUUAACGGUAUAAAGCUAUCGAAAUCAAUUAAAUUUUGGUUACAAAAUUAUUUAAACUAUUUAGAUUAAGNUUUUAAUAUAUUUUUUGUCUAAUUUGUAUAUUUAGAAAAUGAUGAAAAAUGAAUUUGUUAAAUGUUAAUAAUUUUUUAAUUUUAGAAUUUUAUUUGUUGCAUUAUUAUAAUUUAUAUGCAAACAAAUAAUAUAUUUUUAAAAUUUUAUUUUAUAAUUAUACAUAUAUAUAAUUAUAUACAUAUAUAAUUAUAUUAAUUUUUAUUUAUUAUAAUUUAUUAUUCACUAAGUAACAAAAUAGACAAUAAUAUCACUUCGGAGGUAAGUAUACCGGGGGUGGAGAGCUACACUUUUUAUAUCAUCUAUUUCCUACCAAACAAACAACAGAACUCACAGAACUGCACUUCCACAGUUAGAAACAAACAGCUGAAGUGAAUUAAUUUUCACCUAAACUCCACUUUUAUCCAAAGUCCACUUCCACCCAAAGUCUACUUACGUUGAAACAAACAUGCUCUUAUUGGAGAACCGCCAAAAAGGAUGGAGCGGGGCCAAGUUUCUCAUGGUGCUACUACUAUGUGGGCCAAGAGCCAUCUCGAUCCGCAUAAUAUAUUUUUUACAAAAAUAUUUUUAAUAGAAUAAAAGUUUUUUACUAAAUAUUUUUUAUUUAUAUAAAUAUCAAUGACUAUUUAUGAGUCCAGCUAGGAUACUAUCGAUAGCACCAAGGGUUUGGUGCUAUCGAAUUUUCAACCGUUAGAUUUAACUCUUUGAUUAUUUUUACCUGUUUGAUUAUACUAUUCAACAACCACCCACUCUACCUAGGGGAUCCACAUUAUCCUAACUGUAUAUUUUUUAAUUUAAAGACUAAAAAACUAAUAGCACCAAGCUAUUGAUAGUAUUCCAGCUUAGUUCGACCAUUUAUAUCUAUAUAUUUUAAUAUUUAUUCUUCAUUAUACAUUGGCUUCAUAGUACUAUUGUAUAACACAACCCAAUUAUGUGGCUAGGUCGAGUUACAGCAAACCCUUAUUUCCACCCUAGAAUACGCGCAUACACAAUUGCAUUGCAUAAGGAGACAAAUGUUCGAUCCAUUUUGUAAUACUAAUUAAUAAGCAGAAGUACUUGAUCACAGUAAUUAAGGAGCACACUUAACUGUAGAUCUUCAAACUAGCUUACAUAUAUACUCACUGAACACACCGAAACAUAACAGAAAUUAACCACAAUGUCGAAGCAAGCAGCUGAACAAAUGGAUGCGUACAUGCAUCCUUAUUUUAUAACUAAGCAAAUAUAUAUGAUAGCAAACUGCAUGCAGUGCGUUGCUAAUCAUCAUCACUUCCGAUCGACCUACACUGAGCUUCGACUUUCAGAAACCAUUUUAAUGGCUUCGACAUUGGCCCCUGAUUCUAGAGUGGGAUAGAGAGAAUCAAUGGCGAUUCCACAUAUUCCAGAUGACGAUGACACAUCUCUUGCCAUACGGAUGUAUCCGGCCUCACCCCAUCUGGCACCCCAUGAGUUCUUUACUAUCCAAUAUUUUUUUCCGUUGCUAUCCUGCCCGUAACCUAUAGCGGUGACGGCGUGAUUGAGACUAGUUCCACAAGGUCCGUUAAACACACCGCUCUUGUAAUAUUGAAAGUUUGCAUUGGCAUCGACAGCAACAGUUAUUGGUUGUUUCGACACAGCGUACAUCAUGCUGCUUUCGUUGUUCCUCGGCACACGUGCAUAACCAGUAAUAUAAGCUGAAUUGGGCACGCCAUUGGUCUUGCAGGUGCCUUUGGCUGCUUUGUAAGGGUAGAUAGCUGCCNUUGGAAUCGGACCACGUGUUGCACGUACGGAAUAGGGAGUGAUAAGAAAAAUCUCAUAAAUUAUUAAUACCGUCCAGGCUCUCUUGAGCGAUUAGGAUGUGUAUGGUUGCACGUAAAAUUGUGAAAAAAAAAUUUAUCAAGAAAAAAAAUUUUGGUGGAAAAAAAAUUUUACGUCUUUAGUGUUUGAUUUGUAGGAAAAGAAAAAUAUUUUUUCAUGACUGUUGUUUGGUUGAAAAGAAAAAAAUUGAUAAAAAACUAUUUAAUAUAAUUUUUUAUUAUAUAUUAUUAAUAUAUUAUUAUAAUUUUUAUUUAUAGAUUAAAUAUAUUUAAAAUUAUAAUAAAUAUAUAACAUAAUAUCUAAGCUUACCCGAAUGCCACGCCUUGUUAGAUAUGAUGAAUUCGAAGGCUCCUGAACUCCCAGCCGCCCUUUGCACCCCAGUAGCCUUUAGCACAAUCGAAACUUUGCUGCUCCGGUUGAUUUUUUUUGUAAAAGGUUUCUAAAGAUCCCUUUGUUUGAUCUUGUGAUUGAUUUCUAAACCCGUCGCAAUUGCAGGCGAAUGCCACAGCAAGCCACCUGUGCCGAAACAAAGAUUGAAAUCGGUGUUAGCAUAGCUAGUGUAAAGCAAAGUAAUAUAUAUGUAGUUGCCAUGAUAAAAGAAAAACAUUCCAACUAAACCUAAUUAGAUGUUAUUUGUCAAGUAUUGCAGCUGCUUUUAACUUGUUUCAAGUCAGUUGUCAUGCAUAGGGAUGUCCCAUUCUUUUGACUAACACCGUACAUAUUUUGCUUAACUUUCAUAAUAUUAUUGUAAUAAACUUAAUUAAUAAUAGAAAUUCAAAUAAUAACCUAACGCCUAGAUGAUUGAAAUCAAGGUCGAAGUCUAUGAUGUUAUGGUUGAAGUCUUUAAGUGUGUUUUGGAUGAGCAAUUCUUCUUAAUCAGCCAUGUAUUUCUGUAAUCAGUUUGAUUGUGACUUAUGAUCCACAGUUCCGAUCAGGCAAGGCGAUGAUUUUUUAUACUAGAUUCAAACUUCCUUGUAUGAGAAUUGAUAAUAAAUGUCUAGUGAAUGUUUAGAGCAAAAUAAUAGAUUAUUGCGUUUUAGUGGUGGAGUUUUGGUCCUUUAGCCAAAAACGGCGGAAGGCACUUCAUUGGUGAGAUUUGAUCUAAGCAACAUGUUUAAAGUUAACUAAGGUAGCAUUUGGUUGGGAAUAAUAGGGAAAUAAAGCCCUUGUUCUCAAACGCAGCUUUGUAUCGCGAGAAUAAAUAGUUAAUUCUCGAGUUUCUAAAAAUGCCCGGGUAUAGAAGAUUGGAAAGCGUUGUUCCAAACCUUUUUCUGGAAAAGUUUGUUCCUAGGUGAGCAAUAAGAUUAUUAAAGUCUAAAUAGUUUAAUUUAUGGUAUUCGAAUUAACUUAAUUAAUUUAAUUAAUAUAUUUAAAAUUACCUAUUUAAAUCUUUAAAUAAUAAAAUAAUGUAUUAAUUUAUUAUAAUUAAUUAAUUAAUUUAUAAUUAAUAAGAAGUUCGUAUCUAUUUCUAAAUAAGCGUUUUUACUAUACCCAAACCAAACGCAGCCUAAAUGGAAUAGGUAUUGUCUCCCUAAAGUUGCAAGAAAUGAAUUGCAUUGAUAAUUUAUACGCUAAAAUAUUUCUUACGCACAGGCGGUUUUGGUGCUAUGACACUUGGUUAGGCGGCAACCGUAGUUCUUCCAAUCAAGUACUCUUGAGGGCACGCGCGGAGAUGUCUACGUCAUCAAACGACACCUACUGGCCUUCUCUCUCGAUAUUUAUGGGCGAAGAUAUACGCACCAGUAUAAUUGAGGGGCAUAAAAAAUUCGUUACUUUGUCAUAUCGGUAACUGAUUGAUGCCGAGAGUGUACGAAUUUUCGUUGCGACUGUUAAAGGUUUCGAUAUGGUUUCACGUUGUUUCUUGAAUAUCUGAAACGGCGCAUCUCUCAUCGUUGCUUGUAAACUCGGCUCGUACUACACCAUCCAUUCUCACCCGCUUCAUCAUGGGAGAUCACUGGUUCGUCAGCCAGAAGCUGGCGAUGCGAAGCCCACAAUCACAACAGAGAAUACAAGAAAAGAAACACGACUUGAACUUUCCAAGCCAAUGCUUAUGUAGACUAAUAUCUGCUAUAUGUAUAGGAAAUUGAGAUCGCAGCUAAAGAGCUUUCUUCUGUGCUGAGAUGGUCUCAAAAAGAUCGAGUUUAAUAUAGUAAGUUCGUACCUUCGAAUGUAGGGGGGAGAAUUAAUCGGUGGAGGCCUAACAAGAAUGUCACAAAUUCGCCAUCAAUUUAAGAUUAAAUAGUUCUGACGGCUUGCGACCCACGUCAUGUGGUCACUAGUGUAGAUAUUAUGAAAUAAAAAUUUUGUAUAAAUAAAAAUAUCAGUUUGGUAUGAAAAAUAAUAAAUAUAGUUAAUAAUUUAUAAACAAACACUUCUAUAACAAAAUAAAACUAAAAUGAAAAAAAUUAAUCGUUUUCCAAAUAAGAAUUAUUCAAGCGCUUGUUAAAAAAAACGCAUACAUACAAAUGGAUGAUUAAAAAUAUUUUUAUAAAUACAAUAAAGAUAAAAUAUCAUAUAGUAAGUUGAUAAUGAAUUAAAAAAAAAAUCACAUAAUAUGCAUAGACUAAUAUAUACUAUAUGAUAUAUAUAUAUAUAUAAUAUAUAUAUAUCGAGUUGAGUUAGAAAUGCUAUCGAUAGCGAACGGGGCGCUCCGCGCCAUCCAUAUUGUUUUCGAUGAUGGAGGCCUUCAAUCGACCAAUGCUCAUCUUGAAACAUGUUUAUACCAGUUGAAAUAUUAGAAAGUCAAUUUUAAAAUCUUAUUCGAAAUCUAUUUACUAAUGAAUCAAAGGUUUCAAAUUUGUAAUUUUAAAUAGUAGAUGUGAAGAUAGUUUUCUCGUUUAAACGGUAAUACAAAGCUAUCGAAUCAUUGAAAUUUUUGGUUCAUCAAAAUUAUUUAGACACUAUUAGAUUAAGAUCUAUACUCCCUGCAUGCUUGAUUAUAAAUUUCUAUCAUCACUUUUUAAGAAUAUUCAUUUUCAAACGUUCAUUUCCACUUGAUGACAAGAAAGCAAUAUCCGAAAAAGUACGAACGGGUCUUCAUUUCAAAGAUCCUUCAAAUGGUAUACACUAUAUCAUUUUCAAUAAUAUCCCGAUCGCGCGAUUGGAGCUCCAUCAUGCGACGCAACCCGAUUCAAGUUCAUCUCAUGUUCCUUGAUCCAAAAGAUUCUAUCAAUCUCAUUCUCUUCACGAUAUCCUGAAGUGCAAAUUAAAGCAUAUGGUACACCCAAAAUCAAUCAUGCAUUAUACUUUUUUAGUGUAGUAAUUUUCUUAAACUUUAUAAAUUAUAUCAACAAAUUAAAUUUUAAUUUUAAAAGUUUUUAGAGGAAAAUAUAAUUAGUUUACAGCAUUUUGUUCAUUUUGAGAUCUUUUUUUAUCGCCCGAGUAAAACGCUAGUAAGACAGAUGUAGUACGCAAUCAUGCCUAUGCUGAGAUUCCUUGAAAAUUUUUGAAUGUAUCGUCAUCUUGAUAAAAAGUGGCCACCUCCAAUCAAUCCAACAAUUUUUUAAAAUUUAUUUUGUUCACAUAAUAAUUAUAAAGAUAUAAUUUUAUUAUAUAUUUAAAAUAAAUAUAAUUAGUUUAUUAUUGAUAAUAUGGAUGUUAUUUAUUAUUUAUUUUUUUGAGAGCCAGAUAGUAUAUCUACCACUUAUUUUUAAUAGUCAUUUAAAAUACAGAACUGAACAAUAUGAAUUAAUAAAAUAAUUGUUAUUAUUAAUGAUGUGAUGUAAGUAUGAUACAGCUAAAUUUUUUCCGCAGGCCAUCUAUAAUGCCUUUAUCGGACAAAUAACUCAUGCAUUCAUUCCUUUCUAUAUUAUUAGGAAGCAUUUUGGUGCUCGUCCUUUGUUUGGACAGAUGGCAAUCAUCGAAUGAGGGGGCCCCGUACAAACCUUCACUCUCCGUACCAAGGGUUAUUGCAGCUAUAUUUGUUUAUUGACAUCGACCACGUGUUGCACGAGCGGAAAGGGAGUGAUAAGAAAAUCUCAUAAAUUAUUAAUACGUCCAGGGCUCUCUUGAGUCAUUAGGAUGUGAUAUGGUUGACGAAAUUGUAGAAAAAAAAAUUUAUCAAGAAAAAAAAUUUGGAUGGAAAAAAAUAUUUAGUCUUUGUGUUUGAUUUGUAGGAAAAGAAAAUAUUUUUCAUGAAUGUUGUUUGUUGAAAAAAAAAAUUGAUAAAAAGACUAUUUUAAUAUAAUUUUUUAUUAUAUAUUAUAAUAUAUUAUUAUAAUUUUUAUUUAUAGAUUAAAUAUAUUUAAAAUUAAUAAAUAUAUACAUAAAAUGAAGAGUUAUAAUUUAGAAGAAUUAAUAAAUAUAUACUAUAUAUAUAUAUGGUUGUUUCGUUAGAAGAGAAUAAAAAAAUGAAAAGUAAAUAAAAAACGAUUUAUAUAUUCUUUUUUUAUUAUUAUAUAUAUUAUAUAGGAAAUUUCAUAGAUGCCCUUCAGGAACCUAUUAAUUUCCAUCAAUGCCCUUCUAAAACUGAUAAUAUGCAUGAAUGCCCUCCAAAUAUAUCAACAAAUUUCAUAAAUACCUUCACUAGUUAAGUUCGUCAAAGUCCCUUUAAAAUAGAGUUAUAUUUUUAAAAUGGCCAUUUUUACGCCUUUAUCUCCCCAUUAACAGUAGAAGAAUAUCUAAAUAGAUAUUUCAAGACAAUUUCUAUAUCACCUAAGUUUAAUUAUUAAAUUAAAUUAUUAAUAUUAAUUAAUUAUAAAAAUAUAUAAUUAUUAAUUGUAUUUUAUAUAAUAGUAUGUUUUAUAUGAUUCUUGGUUUUGUUUCGGGCUGAUUUCGGUUCAGGUUUGGUUUAGAUAUAAAUCAAAACGCAUUACCAUUGAGUUUGAAAUAUAAUGUGAUGUUUAUUUUUUUUCAUCUAAGCUUUAACUGAAACUAUAUGAGUUUUAUAAAUUAUAUUUAAAAGUANNNNNNNNNNNNNNNNNNNNNNNNNUUCUUAGUUAGUCAUAGGAUAUAUAUAGGAUGUUAAGAUCUGUAUAAUUGGGAAAGUGAGGGGUUUUGUAUAGAAAUUUGUCUUGUCGAUAUUAUUGAUUGUUUACAAGUGCUAAACUGUUAAAAUCUCACAACACACCAUAUGGCGAAAAACUGUAAAAUUGUUAUUUUGAUGAUCUUUAAUUGGAUCGACAGUUCAGAUGAUUCGAAAAAAUUGAAAUUUAGGUUCGAAAUAAUUUCAAUAGUGUAGGAUCAAUUUAACGGAGCCGUCGUACGAUAUGGAACGGAUCAUUGAGAAACUAACGUUGUAGCAUGAAGCAGCAUCCUCCUAACCGAUAAGCAUACGCUACUGAUGCGAUAUUAGAUUAUAAUAUAUUAAUAAUAGUAUAUAAUUAGUAUAUACUCAUGUUAUAUUAUAUCGAGCUAUAUAGUAUUAGUAUUAUAUAUGAAGCGAGCUUAUGAUCUUUGUAAAAGAAUCAUGAACUUGAGCUUGCUUGUAAUUUUUGCAUGUUAGAUUUACUAUUUUACUCUUUUCAUAUAUUAAAUAUACUAUACAAUCAAUCGACCAUACUCAACAUGAGAUAAUAUCAUCCUAACGACUCUCCUUAAUCAAGGACCAGAAAAUCUAUAAGCAGAACUGAUUUGAAUAUUUUUAAAAGUAUAAGGACUAUUUUUGUAUUAGAGAAAUCGUUGCUGCUCAAGAAAGAUAGAGGCAUUAGUACUCUUAAAUUAUUUAUCGCUAUGGAGAUUUCAAAUCUGUAAUCCAGUCCGUAAGCUUGAUAUAUAUAUUUUGAUUUAUAAAAUAAAUUUAUAUUACUUUUUGAUAAUGUUUUUAGUAAUAGACAAGCGUUCAAAAUCAAUCGAUUAAAAAAACGGUGAUAAAGAAAAUAAUGAUAUAACGAUGUAUAUUAUAGGAUAUGUGGCCGGCGCAAAUAUAAAAAAAUAAAAAUAAGAUUAAAAGAGUAAAAUGAAAACCUACGCCAAACGAAAAAAGCCUCCGCAAUACAAGGAUAUAAUCUACAUUAUACACAAGUGAACAAGACGGAUAACAACAUGCCGCCCAGCAUGACCACGGAAAAACGAAGAUCGGCGAGAUAAUAGCGAAAACAAGAAUAUCAGCGGAACUUAUAAGAUUCGCGCUUAAAUAUAAUAAUUUGUAAUUUAUAUUUAUACAUCUAAAAUUAUUAAAUUAUAGAUUAUAACAGUAUUCUAUUAAAAUAUCUAUAAAUUGUGGUUAAAUUUUUAAAGUUUAUUUAAAUUUAGUUAUAAAUAAAAUACAAUAAUAUAUAACCCUUAUAUAAUUCUGGUCCUCGUGGCCUGACGGCCCGAGGCAUGCCGAGAACAUGGAUAAAAAGGAUGUCACUUGGGCUGUCAAGCAGCGAGAAUUGAAUCGCGGCUGUUAUGUGGCCUAAGACCAUGUGAUCGGCAUAAUAUUUUUUUUACAAAAAGUAUUAUUUAAUAGAAUAAUAAUUUUUUACUUAAUAUUUUUAUUUUAUAAAUUUCAUGACUAUUUAAGCGACUGGAUAAAGCAUGAUCCGCAUCCAAGGGUAUUAUAGUGAUUGGUUUUGGAACCACGUUAAUUUAAGACUAUUUGAUUCAUUUUUAUAUCCGUUUGAUUAUAGCAUUCAACCAACACAUACUGUAACUUAGGACCAUAAUAUACUAACUGAUAUUUUUAUCUAGGGAUUAAAAAUAAAAGCACCAACUUAGCAACAAGCUAUAAUAAUGGAUAAGCAUUCGACUGAUUCGACCAUUUAUAUUAAUCUUUUUUAUACUUUAUUUCUCAUUAAUAAUUAGCUUAUAGUACCUAUGUAUUACACAACCAAUUAUGUGGCAGGUCAAAUUACACAAACCACUUAUUUCACCUAGAAUAAGGGCAUACACAUUGCGAUCAUAGAGACACAUUUCGAUCCAUUUUGAUAAUAUAAUUAUAGCAACAGUAGAAUGCUCAAUAACUGUAGAUUUUUAAAUAGCUUAUCAUAGAACAUACCAAACAUAUACAGAAAACACAUCUAAGAAAGCAGCUGAAAAUAGGAUGCUACUUGCAUCCUUAUUUGCUGGUUUUAUAACUAACAUAUACUGUAAUAGAAAUGCAAUGAAUGCGUUGGCUAAUCAUCACAUGGAUGCCCAUGACCUAAUCACUGAGGUUCGACUUUCAGAACAGGUAGGUGCCUGGUGACGAAUUGCAUUUAAUGGACUUCGACUUGCCCAGAUUGUAAGUGGGAUAGAGAGAUCCAUGGCUAUUACAUAAUCCAAAUGACGAAUGACCAUCUUGCAAGGCGGAUUAUCCGUCACCCAUCUGCACCAUAGUUCCUUAUACGAAAAUUUUUCCAGGCUGUAUCUUCUGCCAGUAACCUAUAAAUGGGAUGCAUGAUUGAGUCUAGUCACAAGUCGUAUAAACACCACCGUCACUUGUAAUUUGAAAGUUUUGCAAUUGGCAUCAGAACAGGGUCGAAGAGUAAUUGGUUUGAUUGAAUCACAGCGUAACAUCAUGCUGGCUUUCGUUGUUGCUGCUUCUCCGCACAUGUGAUAAACUAAGUAAUAUAGGCUGAAUUGCAGGCUUGUCUGUCAGGGGCCUUAUGAAGUUUGAUAAGGUGAGUAUAGCUGCGAUGCAGCCUUGGUUAGAAUAUUAUAAUCGAAGGCCUCGAACUCCCAUCCGCUUUGCACGCGUUAGCUACAGACAAUGAAGUAGUUGCUGCUCCGAUAAAUAAUAUAAUUCCCAGCUUUGAUCUUGUAGAUGAUCUACCGUCGCAAUUGCACGAAUGACCCCAGCAGACUGUGCGAACAAAGUAUAAAUUCGUGUUAGCUAACGUUAGUGUAAAGCAAAAGUAUAAAAAAAAUAUAUAUUAGUAGGUUGCAUGAUAACAAAAGAAGAAAAAUUUCAGAACUAAAUUGAUACUAUAGAGGUUAUUAUGCAAAGUACUAGGCUGCUUUUUAACUUGUUUUCGAAUACUAUGUCAUAGCAUGGAUGUCGCCGUUCUUUUGAACUAAAAUAAGUUAAUUUUGGCUAUACUAUUAAUAAUAUUAAUUAUCUGUAUAUAAAUUAGUUAAUAAUAGAAAUUAAAUAAUAUUGAGAAUCGCUAACAAUCCAAUGUAAUUAAAUCAAGUCGCAGUUAUAAUAUAUUAUUAAGUUUUAAGUGUGUUGGAAUAUUUCUUUUUAUAACCAACGAGUAUUUAUGUAAUAUAUAUCUAUACUUUACCAUCCACAUUCCGAUAGAAGUAGGAAUUUUUAUUAAUUAAUAGUCAAUAUUUCGAUAAUUUGCGUUGUAUGCAAUACUGAAUAACAAUGUCCUAAUGGAUGUUUAAGACACUUUUGAUGCCCAAAUAAUGGACUUUGUUGGUUUAUAGUGGGUGAAAUUUGGGUUCGCUGUGCUAAAAAUCGCAGAAGGCAUAUUUGGUGAGAUUUGAAUCUAAAAACAUGUUUAAAGUUAAACUAAGAUAGGUAUGUGUUCUAAGCUGAGAAAUAUUCUUUUGACAAUUUUAUUAUAGUCACAGUAAUCCUUACCACACGCGCAUUGUUUCUUGAAUCUUGUUAGCACCAAGUGGUUCCUCAAUAAAUACUUUGAGGGCACGCAGAUGUCUAUGUAUCAAAGGACACCCACUGCUCUACCCCUCCGAAUUUAGUCGGGCAUGAAUACACACAAAGUAUAAUUGACAGUGCCAAAUCGUUUGUUCGUCGGUAACGAUUGAUCUGGUUCGCGGGUGGAACCGAGCCGAGAAAGUAGUAUGAAUUGUUCGUUUGCAUCUGUUAAAAGGAUUUUCGAUAUGGUUUCCGUUUGUUACAUUAGAAAAUUCUCGAAACGGGUAGCAUUCUUUAUGUUAGUUCUGUUUGAUUAAACUCGCAGGGCUGUUCUGAACUCGCGUACUCGCCACCACAUUUAUUCAAACCUUUCAUCAUGGGUUCCUGGGUUCCGUACAACGAGAAUACCGAUGGCGAAGGACUAUACACAGGAAACAAGAAAAGAAACACAGAUUGAACUUGGAACCAUGCUUAUGUCACUAAAUAUUACUAUAGUAUGAAAUUAGAGAUGAGCUAAAAGAGCUUUUCUAAAGCUAGAAGUAUGUCCUCAAAUGAGCUAUACAUAUAGAAGUUCAAUGCCUUGAAUAGUAGUGUGAAUAUUUAAUAGGUGGGAUUAAUAGUGAAUCCGAAUUAAUUACAUCUUACUAUAUAUUUACUCCGCAUCAAUUCUUUAUAAAUGAUUUAACUCGCACACAAUUAAUCUACUAAGCUGCUUCAGAUACCCUUAGUAAAAUUUUCGUGUAUAAAUCGCGUAUUAUAUGCAAAUUUUUAGAAAAGCGAAUUAAACGUGCAUGUCGCAUUUUUCCAGAAAAAUGUAAAAAAAACGCAUUUUGUUUUAUAAAAAAAUAUGUAUUCAACGCGACCAUAUCGUGAUUCGAGAAUGAUUAGCCAAAAUAACGGGUCGCGCGCGGUCGGUUCGCGGCCGUCGUAUGUCGUCGUCUCUGCUCACGCUUGCUCGCGAAUUUUGAAUCACUGUAAAUCCCUGCUGGAAAAAAAUCCGCCUGAAAGAUUCUUUUCCCAAACACGGUUUCGUAAAUUUCUUUUGAAAAAAUUAAUUUUAUAAUUUUUUUGAAAAAUUGAGUUUGGGAGUCUCAGAAGCUCAGAGAAAUGCGGUUUGGGAAUUGGAGAAAUCGCGGCGUUCGCGAAGAUGUUGCGACAGUUCACGAGGCAAUUUGGCCUCGGUGGACGUAUGAGAGGGCAGAUCCCGGUGACGUCCCUCAUUAGUCAUCUUCGUUCAUUAUAUAUUAUAUAAUUUAUAUUUAUAUACAAAUUUAUUUAUAAAUAUAUAUAAUAUUUUUAAUGAUUUUUUAAUUUUUAUGUAAAAAUUUUAUUUUAGGUUUUUUUUAUAGUGCAUAAACUAGUUGUUAAUCUCUUUAAUUUAUUUAAUUUUAUAGUCUUCUAUUUUAUAUUUCUUAAGAAAUAUGAGUAUUUAUACUAAUAUAAAGUCAUUGAGAGAAAAAAAUUUAUUAAUAGCCAGAAGUUUAUCCCCCAUUUAAUUGGUUGCACGUAUAGAUAUCCAUAUAAAUCAACAUACCGAAUAAUAACCGGAUCUGUUUUUAUAGCCGGUAUUUUCACGAUUUAAAAAUUAAAGACGAAUUUAUAGAAUUUAUAUCCGUACCGAAUUUUUCCGAAUCGAAUAACUAACUAUGUUAAUACCAAAUAGGUCUAAAUUAAUUACAAACAAUCAAAUUGAAAGACCAAGUUCAAGUUGGAUCACCUGAAAAUUAAUUUUACGCACGAGUAAAAUUCACUUUACCCGCACAGCCCACCCUGUAUAUUUAUGGAGUUUUAUAUAUUGUUCUUAUGUAAGAGUUUAAAGGUUGCAUUAACUAUAUAUGUUAAUUUUUUUGUUUUUAUUUUAUCGAUAAGAACUGACAUUAGUUAGCAAAUGAAUUUUUUGUUCCUUUUUAACAAUAAGUCUUUAAAAAAAUAAUAUAAUAUUAUAAGAAUAUUUAUUAUAACUUUUCAAACCGCAUAAUCAAAAGCUGAAAAAUAUUAAAACUAGAAGAAAAUAAAAUUACCUAAUUAAAGUUCAUCAUUACUUACUUCGUCACGAUUUAUUGUUUCCUUCAAAGAUUCUAACAAUCAUUUUCUCUCAAAAUAUCUAGGCAAGUUAAACAUUAUUAAACCAAAUAGUCAAAUCACGGAUUAUAAUUUUUUAUAAUGCAUAAUCUUUAUAUAUAACUUUAGUAAAAUUAUAUAAUCUUAAUUAAAUUUAUUAAAUUUUAAAAUUUUUAUGAAAAAGAUACUUAGUUAUCUGUGUUGUUCAUAUUUGAGAAUUAUUUUUCACCAAUUUUUUUAACUUAGCGAAGUGUACAAAUUUGUAUUGAUUACGAGAAUGCCAAAUUCGAGCUAAAUUUUUUUUUAAAUGAAAAUAAACGAAUCAUUACCCAUCUGCUAUAAACAUAGAAGAAUUUCUUUUGACAAAAUCUACUAGAUGUAGACAUGUUGUUUACGUGUGCAAACGUUAGUUUUUGUCUCUUAUCAAUUCUUAUAAAAGUCCAAUGGAGGGGCAACUUUAGCCGUUUGGUUGUGAUGUAGUUAUAAAAUGGUGUAUGUUUUGAAGUAUACACCAAUUGUAACAUUUCCAUUUUAAUAACUACAUUUAGUAUGUAUUGAUUUAAUAACAGUUAGCACUGCUAGUUAUAUUUUCUUCAGUUUGAUAGUAUGGGCAGUUGAGAUUUAAAUUUAUAAAUUCUAAUCAAAUUUUAGAUAGUAAAUGUGAGAUUAUUCUUUGAGUGAUAUACGUAAAUCACUAUUUAAAUAUUAAUUAAAACUUUUAUAUUAAUAAUAAUUAUAAUUAUAAAUUUGUAUAUUGAAUUUAACUCAUAUUAACUGUAAAUAAUAUUAAUAACAUUUGUUCGAAAUAAAAAUUAAGAUAUUAUAUAACUAAAAACUAAAAAAUAGAACGUAUGAAAAAAAAUUUAUAUUGAACCUAACAAAAUAUUAAAAAUCCUAAUCAGAUUAUCAUGAAAUAUGUUUUUUGAAAAAAAAAAUAAAAAAAGAAGUAUAUGAAAAAAAUCAAUUUUGUUUAUUUUUAAAUAGGUGAGUUGACUGCUGGCUCAAAACCGCUGUAGUUGUACUACGCAUUGGCCGUAUUGUAAUGCUUAAUAAAGUUGUUGGGCUUCUCAUAGCAGAAUCAAUGCAGUAGUAUGGUUCUAAACUACACAUAAACAAACAAAAAAUUAAUAGAUGAAUGUAUUUUCAACAUGAAUGCAAUUGAAUAAUAUCAUGCCAAACAGCAAUCAGCUAAUUUAUUUUUAAAUGCAUAAACGAAAGCGAUACCCAUCUUAAAAAAAAGAAAAUUGUUUUGCAAAACCGUGCGAGAUGUGGACCAUUGCCCACGAGAAUAGACUGAUAAAGACUUGCAUAAUGAAAAAAAGCUUUAUAUUUAAAUUUGAAACGUGAUAUUGUCACAGAAAUUUUUAUUAUAAAAAAAUUAGCACACUUCUCACUUCAUUUAUUAAGGAAUUAAAUUAGACUACAAUGAUGAAAAUCGAGCGAGAGAGAUGAGGGAAAAAAAUUUAAUGUCAGAAUACUUAUUUUGCUUAUGCAAGAUUUUUUAAAAAAAGUUAUGAUAGCUUAUGUAUUAUUAAAAAUAUGCCAAUGCAUCAUAAUUGGCAUUAAAUAAUAUACAUUCAAUGGUCUUUUAAAAUGGUCAUAAAUAUUAAUAGUAAAUACCCGUGAUUAGUCAUAUCAAAAAUUGUCAUUAAUUGUUAUAAAAUAUUAUUGUUUAAGCAUUACUCGCUAGUAUUCCACGUCCAUACAUAACCCGCCUCCCAUCCUCACACCCCCAACUAACUAGCGCAUGAGACGAGCAGAUGCGCCCCUCCCCGCCUCCAUCCCCCAUUCCCAGCCCCCCACCUGAUCCCCAAUCGUUCCCCCCCCCGAACCCUACUCCCCCCACCCCCCUCAUGUAUAAGAAAGAGGGGGAGGAUUAUAGGAGAGGGAGUUUGAUUGGCAAUUACAAAAUACACCAUUAAUUUGGACGGAGUUAUAAAGCCGCAUUGAUUAGUAUGGGGGCCCGGAUUAUGUAGGCCUAGGAGGGAGUGAACUGGAUUAUAAAGUCAUCAUUAGUAGAAUAUAAUGUAUAAUUAAUUAUUCCAUAAUUAAUUAUUAAUUAAUUUAUCUCGAGUGAGUGCUAGGAAAAUCACAUUGCAGAAAAACAGAAAAAGAUAAUGAGGAAGGUAGCUGCAUUUUGGAUAAAAAUCGAGGUUUAAUAAAUUAUAGAAGAUUAUGAGAUUUAUAGAUAAUAUGACAAUAAUUAUGUUGUUCUUCCAAAACUGAAAAAUGAUACGAAGCAUGAGGAACUAAGUUUAAAUCUUAUAAUACUAAUUAUUUAAUCUUUCAUCUAACUUAGUUAAUCAAGUCAUAUUUUAAGUCUAGUUAAAACAUCUCACUAAUACAAGGAAUGAGUGUUGAUUUAAAUAUAAAAUAUUGCUUUUUAUAACUUAAGUUUUAGAGAUAAAUAAAAAUAAUAAAAAGUAUACCGAACCAAUAAAUCUAUUGAGUUGCCCACUUAAUUAACAUUAACUAAUCUAUAUUCUUAAUCUUAAUCAUAAUCAAGCGUAUUUCUAUUUUUUAUCGAUUUUUAUGUUUUUUUUUGCCAAUAUAUAGGAGGCGAUUAAUACUAAUUACAUUAGAAAAUAAAGAACGUUAACAUUAUUAUAUAUUUAAUAGCAACUUUUCAUCAAUAGAAUGCUGCAGUUACCAAAUGGUGUCCUAAAUCUAGAUAGACAAUCCAAAAUAUGAAAGCCCGAGUAGAAGUUGCAACUAAAUUUAAUUUUAAAUGCGUAACUUCAAUUUACUACUCCAAAUAGAUUUAGUAAUUUUUAUUUUGUGUUUCUGUACUCAAAAGUUGCCUUAUUAUAUAUAUUUUAUUAUUUUACAAUAAAAUUAAUAAGUUAGGAAAGUAAACUUUAUUUAUAAAAAAAAAAUCAUUAAAGUAUAUCCUGUUAACAUAAGGGUAUGUUUGGUUUACUUUUGAUCCGAAUGGGAAUCGGUUGAUAAAUCCAUGCGAAAUUGUAUUGUUUAUUAGGAAUCGGUUUGGGACUUCUCAUUCUGAGAUCGGAAUAUGGAAUGGUCCAUUAUCUUACAAAUAAGCAAGCAAUUUAACCCGUGCAAUGCACGAGUUAUAACUUAAUAUUGAGAAUUGUGAUUUAAAGAAAGUUAAUGGUGCAUGAUAGAGUUUUUAUCUUGAUAUUUUAAGUAUAUCUUAUAUUUCAUGAAAUCUGAUGUUACAUUUUGAGCAAGAAAUCUUCAAAUAGCAAGUUUUUAAGAAAGAAUAUAAAUCCUUUAGAGCUUAAUGUUCAUAAGAAAAAGUUUUAAGAGUGAAUCCAUAAUGAUUAAAGUAAAGGAAAAACAAAGUGAAUGUAAUAUUUAGACGUGUUAAGAUAUUUAGAUGAUAUAUGGGCAGGAAUGAAAUGCCAACGUCCUCUUAAACAAUAUCGAUUGUAAUAUAAUCACUAUAGUGAAAAGAAAUUUAGAAGCUUGACUUCUCACUCUAGUUUUAGGGUUUUUUUUGUUAUUUUUAUUUUUUUUAUAUUUUUUUAUAGACUAUUUUACAAUUGAAAUUUCUUAUCGAAUCCUGCUUUAAGCGUAAUUAGAUAUGAAAACAGUCAAUUUUCUAAAAAGUUCUGAUGGGAAUGUUUAAUUUGAAAAGCUUUUAACAUAAAAGUAUAAGUUAAAAUCAUAAAAAUAUCAAUAUUGAAAUGGUCUAAUGUAGGUUUUUGAAAGGUAAGUUCAUAAUAUGAAAAAGUUAAAGUUCAAAUACAUUAAAAUUUAAACAUCUUAAUUUUGUUUUUUUUAAAUAUUCAAUUUGAAAUGUGAAUGAAAUUAAACUAUCAUCAAUCCUUUACGACUAAUUCUGUAAAGUUAUAUUUUGAUAGAGAUUGCCGUGACCUACAUUUAGAAAGUAGUUUUUAGAACAUCUUGUUCGUAACACCGACUUCCAAGGGGUCCCAUCUAGACUACUCCGUCCUAGCAUGCUUAACUUUAUUAUCUCUUGGCUGCCACAUCCAAAUGCUUAGCCGGGUUAAGAGUUAUACCUAUAAUAUAUCAUAUAUUGGACUAUCAGGGUCUCACAAUUCCCUCCUUUUUAGCCUGACGUCUCGAGCAGGCUAGACUCACAGUCGGUGAUGGGGGGGGGUCGGGUGAAGCGAUUGAGACUCAUACUCGCUACCGUAUCCAGACCUCACCUCAGCCGAGCUCAUUCAACUUCCGGCUGUAAUUGCUCUGAUACAAAUGUAACACCGACUGUCCAGGGGUCACACAUCCUAGGGACUAAUCCGGUCCUAGCACGCUUAAAUCUCUUAACAUCUUGACCUUGGCACCAGCCAAAUGCUUACGGUUAAGAGUUUAGCUCCUAUUAUAUAUAUAUAUUGACUAUCAGGGGUCUCACAUUUGUAGCAUAAUUCAUAUUAUGAUUCUUUAAACUGAAAUUGCUUGUUAUUAUGAAUAUUAAUGGAUGUAUGAUCUAUCAAUUAUUUCUGGCAAAUAAACUUGACUAACAGUGAGAAUAGUGCCAUGAACUUGUAAUAAAUAUUGAAUUAUAAUAUUUAAAGUAAAGAUUUGUAACCGUUUAGUAUCAAAAACAGCGAAGUUGAAUAUGCCUCAUGCGAAGAAACGAAAAAAAAAUGUUAACGAAUUGGCAUAAGAAGCAAAAAAAACAAGAAAGCCCAAACAUAGAUUGAUGCCGAGUGGGAGGGGGUGGGGGAGAUGUGUACGAAAUCAUUUGUAAAUUGUGCGAAGAUAGAGAGGAAUUACAUCCAUAUUGUAAAAAAAAACCUAGAAAACCAAUGAAAUCAGAGUAAUUAAUUGUGGAAGUUGAAUAAGCUCAAGAAUUAAUAUUUUUAUUAAUUUGUAUUACCUUUAAUAGAGCAAAAUUAGAGAAUUACUGGAAUGUGAUAGAGAGGCGGAGGUGGAAACGUUUGCAAGGCGGUGGAGAGGCGCCAUCAUCGGCGAUAUUAGGACGGAAGCUAGUAAUUAGGGGGGAAAGAAUCCUUGUAGUUGGGAAAAAAAAAAGCUUUAAUAUCCAUAGAAUAAAUAUAAGAAAAUGUGAAAUAAAAAUAUCUGGAACAUAUUUUAAUACUAAUUUUGGUUUUUAAAAAGUAGAAUGUGAAUUAAAAAUGACUUAAAAAAUUAUGGAGACGCAUAUUUAACAAUUAUAUUUUAUACUUAUUUUAUUUUAAAAAAUAAUAAUUAGCUAUUAUAUAUACAGAAAAAAUAUAAAAAGAAUAUCAAGUUUCAAUAUCAAAAUAUGUUGGUAUUAUGGUUAUGAUUUCUUCUAAUUACUUAAGAUAUUAUAUAUAAUAUUUGUAAAAUAUAUAUAUAUUGGUGAUAAUUUGUAUUUUAUUAUAAAACUGCGCCACGUGGCAUAUAUGGAAUUCCUAUGUAAUUGGGCACUGGCAGCAUAAUGGUUCACUGAAAUGCUUCCAAAUUAUAUUAAUAUAUAUAUAGAUAUUAUAUAUAUAUAUAUAUAUUACUAUAUUAUAUAAAUUAUAAGUAUAGGAUGUGGAGGGCUACUAUGCUAUCGUGAAGCACGGAGCUUCCUAGCUUCAGCUCGUUUUUCGAUUGUUCGCGACUUUCGAAUCGUCGAUUCGGCCCGCUCCGUUAAACUUGAUCUAAGAGUAUUUGAAGUAUAUAGAAAAGUAAAUUUUAUGAUUUUACGAUAUCAUUUGUUAGUAACGAAGGGUUGAAAAUCAAUGCUGAAAAUAAAUAAUAAUUUACAAAAUGUAAUAAUUUGACGUAUUAAAAAUUUAAAUCAAAGAUUCUGAUCUAUUUAUAUAGUAAUAAAGAAUUUUCUAUCAAAAUUUCACGUGGUUUGAUAUAUUCUACAGAACGCGUUAAUCUUGCAAACGCUCACUACGGCCAUUAAAUUGUUGAUUUUGAGCCUACUCGAUUCACUAGGCAAAUAUAUCUAAAACAAUAAAAUUUAUUAUUCUAGUAAUCCAAUAACCUAGAUUCAAAGGUUUAUAUGGAUGCCAGAUCGACGAUUAGAUAAAAGUGGAAAUCGAAACAAGGUGACAUCACGAAGGCUCGUGUAUCCGAUAUGCCUAGUAGCCUACACUCUAAUAGUAAUUAGUAGUAUAUAUAUGAUAGGUAAUAUGUAUACUCGAGUCAUGAUUCGGUCUCAGGCCAGGACCCGGAUUGAGUUUCAAUUUCCAAGGCCAUACUCAGCUCUUCCUCAAGCAGUACGCCCAACUUUGCUCAUCUACUCAUUCUUAUUCUCCAUAUACACAUCUUUUCCUCUUUGUCAUCAUUUAUAAAACUACAUGAUAUAUUUAAUUUUGUUAUUAAUUAUUCAAAAAAAUAUGCUUUUUUGUAAUUUUUUGCAUAUAAUUUUUAAAAUAAAUUCCUUUUUUUUUUUGCAUAGCUCUAAUUUGAGAAUAGUAUUAAUUUUUUUUUAUAAAUUUUAGAUAGUUUUUAGUAAAAUUUAUAUUAAAAGUAAUUAAAUUAUUUAUUCUAAUUAUUUUUUACUUUGAUGAAUCAUAGUAAAAUAGGCAGUAAAUUGGCAUACCUUCAAUAUUUCAAUUCAAAAUGAACCCCCCCACCGCAAUGUCGACCAAACGUCUGGAAAAAUAGGCAAUUAAUUGCCAUUUAAAUUCAUUUCUACAUAUUUCAGUUAUUCUAUUAAUUCCAAUCUUGACGGGUGGAAACAAUCUUAAAAUUUAUAUAAUAAAUAAAAUUAAAUAUUAUGAGAAUAGUUAAGUAUGUAUAACUUUUCAAACCACGUAAAAAGUGAAUUAAAAAAUAUUAAACAACAGUAAAAAAAUUAAAAUUACUCGAUCCCAAUUCAUUCAUUUUCUUCAUCCAAAGAUUCUACAAUCUCAUUCUCUCAACGACAUUCGAGUGCAAAUUAAACAUAUAUAUGGUACACCAAAAGUCAAAUCAUGCAUUAUAAUUUUUUAAUGUAUAGUUUUUUUAAACUUUAUAAAAUUAUAUCAAACAAAUUAAAUUUUAAUUUAGAGGAAAAUAUAAUUAGUUACACAUUUUAUUCAUUUUGAGAUCUUUUUUUAUCCCCAAGUAAAACCUAGUAAGAGAUGUAGUGCCAAUAUACAUAUACUGAUCCUUGAAAACGUUUAGAAUGUAUCCGUUAUCUUGAUAAAGUGGCAUCUCCAGUCAAUCAAAGAAUUUUUUUAAAAAUUUAUUCGUUCCAUAAUAAUUAUAAAAAGUAUAAUUUUAUUAUAUAUUUAAAAAUAAUUAUUAUUAAUUUAUUAUUAAUAAUAUGAUAUUAUUAUUAAUAAUGUAAUGUAAGUACGAUUAGGGCUGGCAAACAAGCAAGCCGGCUCGCGUUCGACUCGUGUUCGGCUCGAUAUUCGGCUCGCUCGAGCUCNAAGAUACUUCAAAUGGUAUAUAUAUCAUUUUCAACAAUAUCGAUCGCCGAUUUGGAGGCUCCAUCAUCGACGCUAACCCGAUUCCAAUUCAUUCAUUUCCUUGAUCCAAAAGAUUCUACAAUCUCAUUCUCUCAACGAUAUCUGAGUGCAAAUUAAACAUAUGGUACACCAAAAGUCAAAUCAUGCAUUAUAAUUUUUUAGUGUAUAAAUUUUUUAAACUUUAUAAAAUUAUAUCAAACAAAUUAAAAUUUAAUUUUAAAAGUUUUUAGAGGAAAAUAUAAUUAGUUACACAUUUUGUUCAUUUUGAGAUCUUUUUUUAUCCCCGAGUAAAACCUAGUAAGAGAUGUAGUACCAACAUGCCUAUGCUGAUCCUUGAAAAUUUUUAGAAUGUAUCCGUUAUCUUGAUAAAGUGGCACCUCCAAUCAAUCAAAGAAUUUUUUUAAAAUUUAUUUGUUCCAUAAUAAUUAUAAAAGAUAUAAUUUUAUUAUAUAUUUAAAAAUAAAUAUAAUUAGUUUAUUAUUGAUAAUAUGAUGUUAUUAUUAUUAUAUUUUUUUGAGAGAAAGAUAGUAUACUAUUAUUUUAUUUUUAUAUCAUUUAAAAAUAAACUAAACUGAAAAUGUAAAUUAAUAAAUAAUAAUAUUAUUAAUGAUGUGAUGUAAGUAUGAUACAGUAAAUUUUUUUUCCGCCAGGCCAUCUAUAAUUCCUUUAAGGACAAAUAACUGCAUGCAGUUCAUUCUUUCUAUAUUAUUAGGAAGCAUUUUGCUCGUCCUUUGUUUGGACAGAUGCAAUCAUGAAUGAGGGGGCCCCGACAAACCUUCACUCCGUACACAAGGGUUAUUGCAGCUGAUGUGUUGUUUAUUGGAAUCUCAUAAAUUAUUAAUACCGUCCAGGCUCUCUUGAGCGAUUAGUCUCUAUCCAAAAUAAUCGUGAUAGUUACAAAAUACUUAUUGUAGCAUUGCCUAUUAUAUGUCAUUUGUGUCGCUUAAAUAUUCUAUAGCUGAUAUUCGAAAUUUUUUGAAAAUGCCCUCUAGAUAUUUUAUCAAUAAUUUUCAUCAUCACGCAUACAUCACAUAAAUAAUUUAAAAUUUAAAAUUUAAAAUUAAAAUUCAAAAUUUUAAUUUUAAUUUAAAAUUUGAUACAGAUCUGAAUUUAAAUUUUAAAUUUGAGUUCAAAUUUUGAACUUAAAAUUGCAAGUCAAUUUUAAAUCUAAAUUAAAUUUGAAAUUCAAAUUCAAAUUUAUAUUUUGAAUUUGAGUUUCAAAAUAAAACUUUGAAAUUAAAUAUAAAACUAAUUAAAAAUCUAGAUUUGAAAGUAAAAUUAGCAUAAAAUCUUAAUUUGAAUUCAAGUGAAUUUGAGUCCUCUUCGAAUCCAAAAUCAAAAUUUUAAAUUUUAAAUUUAUAAUUAAAAUUAGAUUAAAUUAAUAUUAAAAUUCAAAAUUAUAAUGUAAAUUUGAGCGAGUCUAUGAUCGGAGUUUAAAUUGAAAAUUGAAUUAAAAAAAUCUAAUUUAAAUUUUGGAAAUAUUUCGAGAUAAAGUUGAUAUUUUAAAAUUGUAGUAGCAGCUUGGAACUAAGAUUAGGAUAACACCCCGUGACGUGAGAUAAAAUAAGAAAUAUUUAUGAUAUAACUCAUUCUAUUGGAAGAGCAUAUAUGAUAUUUUAAUAUUUUUACAAGUAUCUGCNNNNNNNNNNNNNNNNNNNNNNNNNGUGUUUUUCUUUUCGGUUUUUUUGAAAGCAAAUUGUUCGAAUACUAAGGAGCCGUUUUUUCUCGGUUUUCCGCUUGGUUCACAUGGAUAAUAAUAUGGCUAUAUCCGGCCGAAUUACUAAACACAGUGUCCACCACGGGGUACUGUAAGAUAGAAUCAAACUCGAGUAAAGGUUAUAAAAAAAACAUCCUCAAAUUCUCUUCACUUAUUCCAUAUUAUUGGCACAAAAAUAAAUUUUACUUGCACCAACAUUGUCACUCGCCUCGAGACCUCGCCACAUUGUCACUAACAACAAUUAAUUUCUGACACGCGAAUUUUCUCGCCUAAAAUCAAUCUCAUUUCUUACACAAAAUCUAAAUUUCUGUUUCCAUUCUUCUAAUCCAAUACAAAAUAGUAUUUUACCUAUUUUAUUUACAUCUUAUUUUAUCUUAUCCGGUAUAUUAGCCACUGUAACAUCUUGUGCAAUCAUAAAGUGGUGACAGGUACAAGGAAUGCUAUUCUAACUUGCCACGAAGUGAUUCAAAGUCAUACCUUAUUAUCGUUAUCAGCCCGAGAGACGACUGUCUCGCUGAGAUCAGUAGGAAGAAAUAAGGGAUUUGGUGCUAACGUAGGUAACUCCGAUGAUCCAAAUUCGAACUCUAUUUGAUUCAUACAUUUUAGCUAAUUAUAUUAUAAAUGAAAUAAACAAAGCGAAGGGGUAUUAUGGACUCAAGCCCCUUUGUAGAUACCUCUCAAGAAAAAUAAGGAGCAAACUCAUCAUUCAAAUUAUUCAAAUUAUAUCGCGAUCGAUAUAUACUCAGGUUUUUUCCUUGAAUGCUGAUUUCAAUUGAGAGAGAGAGAAAGCAUCCGUUCUAAAAUUGGAGGGAGGCUGACGAAAAGAUCUGUGCCAAACAUUUCUGGCAACGAGGGUUGGUGAGGGAGGCCUAAAGGUGCCAGAGAGUUUAUGACCGGAGGCUUCAUUAGCUACUCAACUCAAAAUCCUUACUACUAUCGAAAAAAUACUCCUACAAAAUAAUAAAUUAAGCUUCAUGUUAUCGGUGUCGCAUGUCAAAAUAGCAUCCAUCCUAAUCGAUUUGUUUGUUUUUGUUUUGUGUGGUUCAGGUUCUACAUAAAAUUUGCAAAUACCCUAUAACAGGAAAUAUAAAAUACCAUGAUUAAAGCGGGGAACAUUAAUGAAUUGUCAGAAAACUUUGAGAUAUAGCCAAUAGAAAUCAUAGGCAAACAUUACCGAUAUACAAUUUAUCCCUAUAAUCACGUUUAUGCUCUACUAGGUUACUUGCCCAUAGAUUAAGCAUUCCUGAUUAGUAAGGCGUGUGAGCUCAUCACCAGAAUCCUAUAUCAACUUCUCCUAUUUUUUUUUCUCUUAUCUCUUUCUUGAAUCUAAUCGGUUUUUUUUAUUUUCAUAAUUACUUUGAACAACCGAACUGAUCAUGGGUUCGAGUGGUAGACUCCUCUGAAAACCCGCUCAUUAAGUAUUUUAGUCACACGCUAUACUCUUCUCACCUUUUCUUUACUACGUGAACGAUGUGCUAAUUUCUCUCGUUCUUACCUGAAACGAAUUAUAUCAACUCGUGUUCCAAUCUGGGGUGCUAGAACCAGAGCCAACUGCUCCCACAUGUUUCCCAUCUUUGAACCAAUUUUUUCUUUUUUUUUAUUAUUUAUAUCGGAUCAAUCUCACUAUAGAGUGUGGUUUAUAUCCCAAUAUCCCGUCUCAAGCUUUUCUUGUUUUGUUGCUUGAAUCGAAUCGUAUUUUUUUUUUUUUUUGCAUUGAACGCAAACUGGAUCACAACUUCUGCAUUAAACAAACUAUAGUCUUUUCCUCUUCUUCAACUUUAUCUCGUUUAUCACAGCGGGAUAAAUCUCCUCAUCCGUCACUAGGUUCAUUGUCGUUUACUUCUUUGCGCCGUUUUUAGUUUAUUCCUCUUAAUUAUCUCUAUCACAUCCGCAACAGCUCAAAAUCGCACGGGUUACUAUACUACAUAUCACCGUAUGGUAAUAAAACUAAAUAUUUUAAUAACAAGUUAAUGAACGAGGCAUUUUUUCAAUCAAGAAACUAUAUCACUGGAGCUAUUACACUUAUAAUAUUUAUGACAUUUAAAAGAGCACGAAUAUAUUAUAUUUUACAAGGGGAGCUUGUGAUGUUAAGUACAUACGCGUGGCGUCUUAUAAGAUUUUUUGUCAAAAAAACUUUCAUAAUGCUUAAACACUAUCACUGAACAAUAGUAUUUUAAAUUAAGAUAAAACUUUUAAUCCUGGGCACGUCUCUUAUCAGCUCCUUAUAUUCCCGUGUGCAACAACUGCUCCAUACAUUUGAAUAACACACAUCACUUGUCAAUAAAGUCUGUCCCCCAUGCCUCAUGCGACUUUACCUCAAUGCUAUUGAUAAGAGACAAAAUAACGGUUUGCACACGUACACCAUUGGUCUACAUCUAAGUUUGAUUUUGCCGAAAAAAUACGCAUUGCACGACGUACAACAUUAAACACUUGGUUCAUACAUCUAGUGCGGUUUCUGGCCAAAUAAUAACCGUUUCCGACGACAGCACUACUAUUUGUGUCUUUAAACAUGGGUAGGUGUGAGAGAGAGGAGAAUUUCACUGUUUUUUUUUAAGACGAUGGGGUAGGUUAGGAUCUACUUCGAUUUGUUUAUUUAAUGAAAAAUAUAAUUUAGUUCGAAUUUAGAAUUUUCGAAUACGCGAACCACCAGUGCGUCUUUAUUAUUGCCCUAGUAAUAUCGUGCCAAAAAGAAAAUUCUCAAAAUGAACAAAACGAAUAACUAAUUAUCUUUUCCCCUAACACAAUUUGAAAACAUUAAUUAAAAUUAAUUAAAUUUGAUAAUAAUCUUAGUUAAGAUUUUAAAAAGAUUAUACAUUAAAAACAUUGUAUAAUCCGUGAUUGAUUAUUGGUUAAUACAUGUUUUAAUUUGCACUCAGAUAUCGUUAGAAAUGAAAUUGUAGAAUCUUGAAGGAACAAAUGCAUGAAUCGGGACUGAGUAGUAUAAGAAUUUAAUUAGGUAAUGUUUGUAUUUUUUUAGGGCUCGUUUAAUUAUUUUUUCCAGCAUUUGUUAUUAUGCGGUUUUGAAAAGUUAUACUUAACUAUCCUAUAAUAUUAGAUAUUUAUUUUCUUGUAAAGAGACUUAUGAGUGUUAAACAGAACAAAAAAUUCAUCAUGCUAAAAACUGAUGUCAAAAGUCUAUUUUUGAUAAAAAUAAAAUAAAAAUCGACAUAGAAUGUUAAAUGCAACCUUAAAACUACAUAACAACAAGUGAAACUCCACUAAAUUACAGGGUAGGGGUUGGGUAUCGAAUUUUCUCUAGUAAAUGACUUAGUGCAAACUUAAGAACUUAGGCUUCCUUAGUUGAUUGCUUUAACUAAGGACCUAUUUGGCGUACUUGUAAGUCAUCUAUGAGUUGAAACGCUGGUUGGGAGUUAAAGUCAUAUAAAGAUUACUGAUCAUUAAUUUCUAAAGUUGAACAGUACGGAAUGAAUAUACAAAGUUUAUUAUAAUGAAAAAAGUCUAAUUUAUGAAAAGAUGUAAACAUUAUUUAUUAUAAUAAAAUUUAAGUAAUUAAAGAUGAGUUUUAAUAUCUAUCUACUAACUACUAGAAAAAAUUACAUGUAAAUACACGUAUAAUAAUUAUUAAAAAAAGUAUAAAUUUUAUAAUAUAUAUUUCAUAAUUAUUAGCCCAUAAUUAUAUAUAUGAAUUGCCAGAUAUGUAAUAUAAAAAUUAAAAUAAUAAAUCAGCUAAUAUAAAAAAGAAUUGCUAUUAAAUGAACAAACUAAUUAACAAUAAAUCAUUAAUACAAACAAUACAUAUUAUAAAAUAUCUCUAAUUGGCAAAAAUUAUUAUAAAAUUAAAACUAAAAAUAAAAUCUGUUAGAAAUAAUUUACAUUAAAUGAAAUAAAAUCACGUUAUAUAAGAAAAUAAUAAUAUUGAAUUAAAUAGAAAAUAUCUAAAAAAGAUAUUUAAACUAAACAUAAAAAUAAUCUUUUAUAGAUAUUUUCAGCACACCGUAAUCUGUUAUAGACCGAUAACUUAACAUUGAAUUAAAUAUUAUAUUAUAAAGAUCUUCUAAGAUAUCGUAUAGACGCCUCAUGAUAUCAACACGCUGUAUACUUACAUCUAAUAAAAUAAUCAUUUAUUCUUAUAUAUAAAUUUUCGAAUCAGCAAAAAGAUAUUCUAAUUUAAAAUUUAAUCGGUAAGAAAAUAUCUUAUAUUAAUAAAAAUUCGUACGGCAAAGAGAAAAAUGGCGCUAAAUAUUAUUCAACAAGUGAAAAAAUUAGGAUCAGAUAGACAGCAGUCCAAAUAUUGAAUAUACCGUGCUUUUAUAUAUAGUAAUAAUAUAUAUAUAUAUCAUAUAUAUAUACGUUAUGGUUGGACGUGGCAAAAGCUACUAUUACGUAGCAAAAUCUCUAUAUGCUGGACCAGUUUGUUUAAGCUUUUGGGAUCAACUCUUUCAUUAUUCUCAAACAAUUGGAUUGAAAUACUAUAUAUCCAUUAGAGACGCCAACUCAACCCCAGGGGGACACUUCAACUAUAUUAUUGACUAAUAUCAUCCUACCUCACAAUUUUUCAUCGCAAGUUAAAAACUUGAUAGCAAAUAAGAGCGUUUUACUAUUAAUAGAUUUAGCUAAUUCAUAUAUAUCUGAGUGGGUGAAUUAUGCUACUAUACUGCAAUAAGUACCAGCCCUUGUAACGUAUGAGUUUUGGCCGUUGGAUGAAAGGAGUGCGGUUAGUUUGAUAGUGUCCUGAGGUCAGUGGUCGUGCGUGGGGCUUAAAUAGUAUACGUCUAACGGUGGAAAUAAUCAAAGAGUACAUCGUGCUAACGGUAAAAACUCAAAUAGACCAAAGGCUUGGUACUAUCCAUAUACAGUAGCCGGACAUCAUAUAGUAUAUGUAUAUAUAUAUAUUAACAUUAGAAUUCGGUAAUGCGUCUGGUACUCCGGCUUUUUUUCCUGUGGGAUUUUGAGAAUUCGCCACAAACCCGCUCGAUACCAGAUGUACCGUGGAUUCGAGCCGUGAUUGUUGGUCUCGAUUACACAACGAAAGCUCGAAUCGAGAAUUUUUUACUAUAAACUCGUAUUCCUACAAAAGCUGAUACUAAUUCACAAAAAAGAUAAAAAACCAAAGCAAGUGCGAAAGAUCGAGGUGGAAAGGCUGGCAGGGGUUUCAAGCCUCCGCUCUUUGCCCCUCCGCUGGCUUCUCGACGAGAGACAUAAAAAAAUAAACAGAGAGAAAAAAGAGGAGAAGAAAGAGGAGAAGAUAAAAAUAAAUAAAGUUUUAGAUCAGUUUGCUGGAAAAUUCAAGCCGAAGUCUACAAAAACACGAAAAAACAGUCACAUCUUUGCAAAAAACCCAAAAAAAUAGUGAAUUUUUAUGCAAAUUGCCUUAAUUUAAUAAUUCCAUCUUCACUUAUUUGACAGUUAAAUUUUACUUACCAACUACUUAUUUAUAGUCGAUUCUUGUGCAUAUAAAAAUAGGUAAGUCUAAGCCUAUCCUUUUUAAUGAUUAUUCAGAUAUAUUUUAUCAAAGGUGAAAUCUGGACAGCUAAAAAUUCGAUCCCUUCAGAUUUUUGGCGAAAUUGUGGGGGAUUUUCCCCUAAAAUAGGUAACUUUUUUUUGCUUAAAGUGCUUGUAAUUCUGUUACUUGCAUUAAGAACACUGUCUAAAAUUAGUAACUACAUAAACCUCUGUCAAGGGGAUCAUUUUCAAUUUUGAAAUGCGGGACAGUCUUCAUAACUAAUUCUCAAACAACUCUUAAACACCGCAAACUAUAUAUAUAUAUAUAUAUAUAUAUUAUUGUUUAGAAUAUUAGCUGCUUAUAUAGUUGUCCACAUUUCACACUUGGAUCUAUAAUGUGAUUUGAAUACUCAUAAAAGGUGAUUGAUAGCAUACAAAAUUAUCCACUUUUAACAUGCAAAAGACAUAUAUAGACUGUACGUAAAAUUUACUUUUGUCUCAAUAAAUGAAAGAUGAAAUGGUUAAUUUGAUUUGAAAUUUUGUUUUUCUCCUGUUCAACUCGUUACGUAACUUUAUUUUCUGUAGAUAUAUGAGAUUUGGGUAAAUUGCACUCCAUGUCUCUAAACUUAAAUUUAGUUUUUCUUCUUUUUUUUUUCUUUUUUUUUUUAUGGAUAGGUAGCAUGCUACCCGCUUCGUUUUAUUUUAUUUAGAAAUAAACUUAGCUGGAAAUGUGAAUCAAUUAGGAUUCGAACUUGGGUCUCAGAUACCAAUCACCAAGCCUUUUUCCACUUCUAGGGACGGUCGGUUAAAUUUAGUUUUUCCACUUCUAAGGACGGUCGGUUAAAUUUAGUUUUAAAACUUCUAAAUUUUGUAUAUUUUUAAGACCGGACUAUUGAUUAUUUGAAUUAUAUCAUUUUAGUCCUUAUUCUGCGUACUCUUUUUUUUUUGAGAGAUAGAUAACAUGCUACCCGCUUCGCUUAUUUCAUUUAGAAAUAAACUUAGCCGGAAAUGUGAAUCAACCAGGAUUAGAACUUGGGACCUCGAGUACCAACCAUCGAGCCCUUUGCCAUUUAUGCUAGGGACGAUCGGUAAAAGCUAGCGUACUCUAAUAACCUUCACAUUAUGUAUACUAUUUUAUUUUUAUCUAAAAAGAAACUAAACACAAGUACUCUAAUAAUAUAAUUUUGUAUUUUGUAUUUCAAUUAUAUGUACUUUCCAUAUAUAUUGACCCUCACGUUACCCCAUAAAUAUUCAAAACAAAUAAAUCUACUAAAAUAUUAUUUUUGAGAUAUUUUCGUAUCAUAAUUUUGCAUGUGCAGGUGCAUGACUUUUCAAAUUGUCUUGGAGCCAUCCCAAUUAUUUUGCAACCAACGUAUUCAAUCCGGGGACAACUCAAAUUUAAUUAUUGGAGCAAGAAAAUGUAAGGAAACCCCUAAACUAUAGGCGACUUUAAAUAGCUCCUUCAAUCUGGUUUAAUUCUCUCUCGUUUAGGAGUGUAAACGAGCUGAACACGAGCUGACUCGUUAAAAUAUCGUGCCGAAAAAUUUAGCUUGUGUUUGGCUCGCUAAUAAACGAGCCGAACACGAGCUGGCUUACAAACAAUAAGUUAAAAGUAUUAAAUUGAAUAUAUAUACAAAAUAAAUAUAUAAAAUUUUAUCCAUUAAACUUUAAGAUUAAUGGGUAUUUUUUCACAUCCUUUUACUCUAUAUCAAUUGAAGUAAGGACUCCUUGCUUUAAGUUCUAAAAUAUUCAAUAGUUUUAUAUAUAGGAACCUGGGGUUUCCCAAACUAAGAAUUACCUAUUCUAAUACUAUGCGAAAUAAUAUGACACAACGAUUGUUCUCCAAAAAUUUAAAGAUGGCUCAGAGGAUAAGGCACUAAUUAAGUUUGAAUCUUAUCGGGCAAUAGGUUCAUCCAAUUUCUUUUUAUUUUAUUUAAUUUAAUUCAAGGUCAUAUUUUAAAUUUAUUAAAACUUCUCGAGCCUAAACAAGAGGUAGAGUGUUAUAUAUAUAUAUAUAUAUAUAUAUAUAUAUAUAUAUAUAAUUCUGCUACUAUACUUUAUGAUAUAUUGUCCUCUGUACUCAUAAUUAUUUCGAUAGAUUCAGACUUCCGAAUCAACGAUCCACAUCAAUUAACUUUAUUAAACAUUUAAAAUUUCUAGAAAUCAAAUUUUUAAUUUUUCACAUCAUUUCACCUUCACUCAAAACUUACAAAAUUGACAAAUUUAACAGCCGGUAUGUAAUACAUUGCUAGUUUAACGGUGUAAAAGAAUUGGAAUAGAUUGAAUUUUUGAUAGAAAUUCUAUUCACUAUCUAAUGAAAGAUUAUAAACUCUAAUCUUAAAUUGAAGGAUCCGAUCAUCCAUUUUUAGAACACCUCGUUCGAUUUUGACCGUUCAUUUUCUGCCCGUUGAUGAUUCUUUAUUGAUUUGGAAAAAUUAAAAAUUUAUUUUUUAAAAUUUCAAAUACUCUAAGUCAUAUUUAAACGGAGUGGAUCGUCGAUUCGAAGCCUAAUCAUUAAAAAAACUUAUGAGUACGAAGAGGUCCAAUACUCAUAAGAGUAUAGUAGCCUUACUAUAUUAUAUAUAUAUUAUAUAUAUAUAUAUAUGUAAUAUAUAUAUAAUAUAGUUGCUUAUAAUUCCUAAUCUUUCUGAAAUAUCCGAUCUACCCCUACUUUUUUUUUCUUUCUAAAAUGCCCUCAUAUGUUCCACCGUUAUUCCAAAAUACCUCCGCAGUUAUCCCUGUUAUGUUUACUUGAGUUAAGCAUGGAUUAAUGUAUACCGCGAGUUAAAAACUAAUUAAAUACCCUAUUUUGCCCCUUACCAUUAUUAAACAAUUUAUUAAAUUAUCUUUUUUUUCUCCUCCAACUUCAUCCUUCUCUCUCUCUCUUCUCUGCUCUCCUCUAACUUGGUCCUGCCCCCGCCGCCCGCCACCGAGCACGCCCAGGCACUCACCACCACCACCAACGCUGCAACCAGCUCCUUCUCGCCUCCGACCUCGCCCCCUAAGACUCGCGUCAUUCGCACAAAAAAAACGGCCCUAGUCCGCCGCUCUCGAUGCGCCUUCCUCCUCCCCGCCGCUUUGCUGUGCCGCGGAGCAAGAGGGCCCCAGCGAUUUUGUGCAGCAAUCUCGUCGCGUUCGUCGUCCCUCCUUUCUGUCACAUUUCGAUCAUCGCUGUGUGUUCGCGGUCGACAUCGUCUCGCACCACGGUAGCAUCAUCGUGCCUUCCACCUCUCGACCCAUCGCUGUGGACGUCUUCUUCGUUCUGAAAACCCAUUCUUGUCUCUGCUUCCCUUCGGGAACAGCCGCUCCAUCACCAAUAUUGCCUCAUGGUCGCCAACCUCGAGGUUUGAGAGUGCGACGGUGUCCGAGGUUGAGGUGUGUCGCGCUGCCGGAGGAGGGGAACGAGGGAGAGGUGUUUAUGAGGAGUCAAUUGGAGAGUUAAUUGGCGAGAGUUAAAACUUAGGUGAUAGUUCAAUUGAGAGUUAAUAGGAUGAAUAGUUAAUUCAUCUGAGAUUAAUUGGAAUACAAGAUAGUCUUCUGUUCUGCAGCUACAAUCUAAGAUUUAAUUAAUUAUUUUUAAAUAUAUUAACUCUUUAUAUUAUUACAUAUAUAUUAUUAUAAUUUAAAUAUAUAAUAUUUACAUAUAUAUAUAAAAAAAAUUAAAAUAAAUACAUAUAUAGUAUAUUAUAUUAUAUAUAUUUAUUAUAAUUAAUCGAAUUUUUAUAUUCCCGAUUUUAAUUGGUGAAUCAUAAUACCCGCGUAAAAAUAAGCUUAUCUGAAUAAUUGCCGAAUCCGGAUUUUUUAGCCGUAUAUUUUCAACAAAUUUAAAAUAAAAAGAUACGAAAAUAUAUCCGAAUUUUAUCCGUACCGAAUUUUUGCCGAAUCCGAAUUAACUAACUAUGCCUCCAACCACCAAGGUUUGUUUAGCUGCGAUCGAUCUCAUUCGUUUAUCUGCUCGCUCCCGACGUGCUUAAUUAAUUAAUUAAAAUUUGAAGGGCAAAUAAGAAAAGUAUUCGCUAUAUAAAGGGUAUAUAAGAAAAGUUAGUUACGGUAGAAGGGUAUAUUAGAAUGGAUAAAAUGGUAAUUUUACAGAGAUAACGGCAGCUCACUAAUGGAACUUAACUCCAGGGAUAUAUUAGAAAAGCUUGGAACAUAAGAAGGGUAUUUUCAAUAUAUAUAUAUAUUGAAACACCUCUCUUUAAUAACUUAAGUUUCUAUAUAUAAAUAAUUGUUUCUCAUCCUUUCAUAGAUUUAACUUUUUUCAUAUUAUAAUAAAUCAAUUAUAAUAUUAUUCCUACGGUUCCAUUAGAAAAUAAUGAAGUAUAUCUUUAUAUGAUUUAACUCCAACCAAGUUUCAUCUACUAGCAUGCUUCAAUACCCAAAUAGGUGCUAAGUCACAAGACAAUCCAAAAUAAGGAAAGCCCAAGUUCUAAGUUGGCACUAUAGUUAAUUUACUGAGUAAAAUUCAGUGGAGUUUUACUUUGUUCUCAUGUAGUUUAAAGGUUGCAUUUAACUAUCAUGUGAUUUUUUAUUUUUAUUUUAUUGAUAGAACUUGACAUCAGUUAAAAAUUAAUUUUUUUGUUCUGUUUAACAAUAAGUCUUUACAAGAAAAUAAAAUUAAUAUUAUAGGAUAGUUAAGUAUAACUUUUCAAACCGCAUAAUAACAAAGUGAAAAAAUAUUAAACAACAGUAAAAAAAUUUAAAAAUUACCUAAUUAAAUUCAUCAUACUUACUCGAUCCCGAUUCAUUCGUUUCCCUUCAAAGAUUCUACAAUCUCAUUCUCUCAACAAUAUCUGAGUGCAAAUUAAACAUGUAUUAAACCAAAAAUCAAAUCAUGGAUUAUAAUUUUUUAAUGCAUAAAUCUUUUAAACUUUAUAAAAUUAUAUCAAAUUAAUUAAAUUUUAAUUAAUUUUCAAUUUUUUUAGGGGAAAAGAUACUUAAUUAGUUAUCCAUUUUGUUCAUUUUGAGAAUUUUUUUUGGCAUCGACUGUCACUAGCGCAAGUGGUAAGGAGUUUGGUGGUCGGUAUCCGAGAUUUGAAGUUCUGACUUAAGUUUAUUUCUAAAUGAAAUAAAUAAAACGGAUAGUAUAUAUGUUAUCUAUCUCUUUAAGAAAAAAAAAUUUUUUGGCAAAACCUAGGAGAUGUAGACCCAAUGUGUGCGUGUGCAAACGUUAUUUUUGGCAAAACCUACGAGAUGUAUACCCAAUGUGUACGUGUGCAAACGUUAUUUUAUCUCUUAUCAAUCGUUAGUAAAGUUGGCAAACAAACUAGGAGAUGUAGACCCAAUGUGUACGUGUGCAAACGUUAUUUUUGGCAAGAACUACGUGAUGUAGACCCAACCCAAUGUGUACGUAUUUUGUCUCUUAUCAAUGAUUAGUAAAGUCGCAAUCGAGAAGGGUACAACUUUUAUUGCAGCUGAUGUGUUGUUAUUGGAAUUAUGGGAGCAUGUGUUGCCCAACGGGAAUAGGACUGAUAAAGACGCGCAUGAAUUAAAAAAGUUAUAUUUAAAUUUAAAAAAUACUAUUGUUCAGAAUAGUUGUUUAGCAUCAUGAAAGAUUUUUUUAAAAAAAAUUUAUGAAUGCCACGCUUAUGUAUUAAAAUAUCACAAUGCCCUCAUAAAUUAAUAAUAUCAUUCAUGCUCUUUUAAAUGGUCAUAAAUAUUGUAGUAAAUAGCUCCAGUGAUUAGUCUCUAUUGAAAAAUCUCGUCAUUAAUUAUUAUAAAUAUUUAUUUUUUUACCAUUAUGUACUACUAGUAUAGUUACCCGCGCAAUGCGGCGGAUAGGUAUUAUCGAAAUAUUAGAUUUUUAAUUCAAUCUAACUCAUCUUAAAUAGAAAUUAUCAAAUAAUUAUAAAAAUUACUGUAAAAUAGAUUAAAAUUAGAUUAAAAAAAUAGAAAAUAAGAAGAGAGAAAAAAAUAAAAAAUAGAGAAACUCUCACUUAAUGUUGGUCUCUAAGAAGGCGAGGCUUGCCAAUAUUUAGUGGUUCAAUGAAUCUACAUUAAUUAGCAAUAAAAUCAAUACCAAGUGUGUUAUUUUGUUAAUUUGAUAUUUAGAUAGAGGGAGUGGUUUCAUUUAUUUAUUUAUUUAUUUAUGAGGAUGAAGGGAUGAAGGGUGGCUUGCCACGUGGCAAGAAAUAUUGUGCUUUCAUUUAGAUUUAUAGAUUUAUAGAUUUAUAGAUUAUAGAUUUAUAGAUUUAUAGAUUUGUAGAUUAGAAUUUUAGGGUGAUUUUCAUUAUUUUAAAGUUAAUAUAUCAUAUUUUAAAAUUGGAAAAGAGUACAACCUACAAAUAAAAAUCCGAUUCUAUUAAAAAAAAAAUAAAAAGUAGAGAUAAGCCGGUNCCGAUUCGAUUAAAAAAAAUAAAAAGUAGAGAUGAGCCAGUUCAAUAAAAAAUCAGUUUCGACACAAAAUAUAUAACAAAAAUAUGUCGAUUCAGCUCAAAAAAAUAAAUAGAAAGAAGAAGAGGUUCAAAAAAGAAUAAUUGAAAGAAGAGAAAAAAAAUCGAAUUCAAAGAAUAUAUAUAACAAAAUAGAUCAGUUCGAAUUAAAAAAAUUUAAAAAAAAAAUAAAAUAUGUAAAAAAAACUUGUUGGUUCGGUUCAAAGAAGAAUAUAAUUGAAAGAAAAGAAAAAAAAAUUAGAAAAAUUUUAAACUAAGGAAGAAGUGCCACGUCAUCUUACACAUUGGGGAUUAAUAAUGACUCAUACCAGGUUCACAUAUAACCCAACCAUACUAAGCCCAUUUGACCCUAACACACACACACACAUAUAUAGGUAUGACUCACAUCAAAAUGACUAACACAAACCAUGCAAACCUACGUGCAUGGGCCACCACUUUAACAGUUAAAAACACCAUACACCAUUUCUCGAUUCUAGUGGGAUGCUGGCCCUGGAGAGAUAGACGCCGGGGCCGGCGGCGGCGGCGGCGUUGACGGGUCGGAGGAAUCAUUUGCUGGAUAGCAGUAGCCGCGCAGUAUGUCUCCUUCUUGAGCCGUGAAGCCGAGGGACGCCAGCAAGACGUCGGUGGCCCAACAGUGAUGCUCGAUGACGCGAAUGGCCCGGCAGCAGCUCGGGCCCAGGUACGUUUCACCGUUGAGGAAGAAGAGGAUUACCUCCCCCGUGCACGACCGGAGCUCCACCAGCGAGUCCCAGCACUGCUUCAUGCCGUCCGACUGCAGGCGGGCCGAAAGGCCGAUCGGGCCGAUGGGCCGAGCCUCCGACGACGUCGGAGUGGGCACGGUUGUGAGGGAGGAUGCUGCGAGCAAGAUAAAAAUAGAUUGUUUGAAGAGAGAAGCCAUGAGAAACUUCAGUGGAGACACUUGUGAGUGAUCAUAUGAAUUGAUAGAUGUUCAUAAAAAUAUUCAUAUUUAUAGAGGUGGAAUCGAUCAAUAAAUAUGAAUAGGAAAAUGAAAAGUGAAAGGGCAUGCAUGCAUAUAUACGUUUUAAGGAAUGUAAGAAGGUCUCUUAGAUUGAGGUGUAAUAAUAAUUAAUCAAUUAAUGGUGGUGGGAGAAACAAAAUUAAGGAAUUUGUAACAUCUUAAUUAAUUAUUAAGGAAUGUGGAGGGUUUUUAAUUAGCUAGUGGAAAAAUUUGGGUCCUAUGUGGACUCGAGCCCAGUUAAGAUUUGGAUAGAGCCAGGUUAAUUUUGUUGAUUGGUUGUUGGAUUUGGGUCAAGAUAAAACCAACAAUAAGCCCUAACCUAGUGUUUGACUCCUGAAAAAGUGUGGAAAAUUAUUUUUAAAAAAUUUAUUUGUUUAUUUUUUCAUGAAAAACACAUUUCUCCAUAAUUUUUUAUUUCUCUGAUAAAAAAUUUAGAAAAGUAAAGUACUAUUUUUUAUGAAAUCUGAAACGAAUGAAAAUUAUUUUUUCAGUUAGAAAAUUAUUUUCACAAAUAAUUUAUAGAAAAAAACUAAACACCUCCUAAGAGAUUUAGUAUUANAAAGUAAAGUAUUAUUUUUUAUUAAAUCUGAAACGAAUGAAAAUUAUUUUUUCAGUUAGAAAACUAUUUUCACAAAUAAUUUAUAGGAAAAAACUAAACACCUCCUAAGAGAUUUAGUAUUAAUUAUGAGGUACAUAUAUAUGAAUAGUUAGCUUAAUGGAGAAUAACUUGAGAAGUAAAAGAAUCAUUAGAAACGGUAACAUUAUUCUUUGUCACAAUUACUGCAUUAAGGAUUAGUAACAUCUCAAUCAUUAAUAAGCAUGCUCUAUAAUUGAAAGAAAAGAAAAAAAAAAUUAGAAAAGUCCUAAACUAAGGAGGAAGCGCCACGUCAUCUUACACAUUGGGGAUUCAUUAUAUGUAAUAGAUUAGUAUAGUAACUCAUGUGAUGUGAUUAACAAAUAAUUAAAGAAAAAAUAAAAAACGGCAACAAAGAAAGAGUAAACGACGAUGGAAGAAGUGACGGUGAGGAGAUUCAUCCCGCCGAUAAACGAAGAUAAAAGUUGAAGAAAGAGGAAAAGAAAUAGUUCGGUCUAAUGCAGAGAUGUGAUCCAGUUUGGUUCAAUAAAAAAAAAAUCCGAUUUGGUUCAAGUAAAAAAAAAGAAAAGCGUGAGACGGUUUGGGGUAAAGCCUACACUCGAUAGUGAUCGAUUCAGUUCAAGUAAAAAAAAAAAAAAAAAUUGGUUCAAAGAUGAAAACAUGUGGAGCAGUUGAGCUGGUUCAGGGCAAUGUAACCUAUUGAUCUGAUUCAUUUCAAGUAAAGAAAGGGAGAAAUUAAGUUCGUUCCACGUAAAGAAAGAAAAAAAUAUGUGAAAAGCUUAAGCCGGUUCGGAGGAGUCUACAUUUAACAAUGAUCAACUCAAUUCAAGUAAAGAACAAGAAAAAUCCAAUUCGACUGAAGCAAAAAAAAAAGAAAAAAGAUACGUGUAGAACUUGAACAGUUUCUGGAUGAAGCCCACAUUUAAUAAUGAAAGGAACGUUAUCAUGUAGCAAAACUAAAAGAAAUAACGUAUAAGGAUAGAUUGAUAUCAUUAAUGUCACUUAAAUUUUCUAUAGUGAUAUUCAAAGUUUUCUACAUUAUUAAUGUCGCUUAAAUGAUAUUCAAAAUUUUCUGUAGAGUAGUUUCAAAAUUUAUUAGAACUAAGAUUAGGAUAAUGCUAUUUGACAUGAGAUAACAUGAGAGAUAUUUAUGAUAUUUUUAGAAGUAUUUGUGAUAGUUUAAGAUUUUGAGGAGUACCUAUGAAGCUGUCCCUAAAAAAAUCUGCAGUUUUGAGCUCUCACAACCUCGUUUCAAAAUUUGGAAGAUAUCGCUCCUUGACUUUCGAAUUUUAUGUAGUACAAUUUUUAGACGGUGUUCUUAAGGUAAGAAACUUAUAAGCAACUUUAAAGGAAAAAAAGUUAUAUACUUACAGGGAUCGCAUUUAAUUUGGAAAUUUGAAUACGAGUUUUUACUUUUUAGCCGUUCAAAUUUCACACUUUGAUAAAUAAUAUGACUUGAACACUCGUACAAGACGAUAGCAUACCCUCACCCUCUUUUCAUACGCACAAGACAUAAACUAUAAUGAAUGUUGGUGCAAAUAAAAUUUAUUUUUGUCCAAAUAUGGAAUAAGUAAUGAGAUUUGAAUUCUUUUAAUUAACCCUUCAACUCAGUUUGUUUUACUUACAGUAUGGCGUUGGACCACUGUGUUAGUUAAUUCGCGUAUAAUACGCGAAUUAUACGCGAACAAAUUGAAAACCGUAUAAAAUGCUCCGAAUACGAAUUGUUUUCCAAAAAAUCAAAAAACUCGUUUUUUUUCCCCUCGCUCAGAUUAUUCACGAUAAAAAUGGUUUUUCCGAAUUAUAUUUUGAAAAAUUCGGAUGUAGCAGCGGUGGAAAGAAGAAAUUUCUUGUGAAUUUUGGAUUUGGUGGUUGCGGAUUGAUGAAAGUUUUUGGACCGGCAUCGGGUGAGCAUUGUUCCACAAAUUUGUGCACCUCCUCGUGAGCAGUCGAGCAACUUUGCCUGUUCAAUUUUGAAGGAAAUAUGAAGACGAAGCGAAGCAAAGAAGAAAAGGGGCGAGCGAGGAAGGAGGACCCUGGAAAAAAUCGCGAUGUACAUUGGGAAAUAGCGGGGUCCAUGAGGCUGCACUCAGCGUCAUGGACCAUGUGGAGUGAGAGGUCCACCGUGCUGCAAUCAUAUAUAUAUAUAUAUAUAUAUAUGAUUUUAUAUAUUAUUUUAUAUUAGUUUAUUUUUAUAUUUAUAAAAAUUAUAAUUAUUUAUGAUAAUGACAUAAAUCUGAAAAAAAUUUAAUAGCCUAAUUAAGGAUAUUUUUCAUAAUUAUGAGUAUUUAUACUAAUAGCAUAAAUCUAGAGAAAAAAAAAAAUUAACAGCCGAAUUUUUUUAUCUCGAAAUUUUAAUUGGUGCACGUAUAAUAUUCGUAUAAAUCACGUAUCCGAAUAAUUUACAAAUCUAUUUUUUAGCCGUAUUUUUAAAAAAAUUUAAAAUUAAAAUACAAAUUUUAUCCGUAUUAUAUUCGUACCGAAUUUUUGCCAAAUCCGAAUUAACUACCUAAGUUGGGUCACAACAUACAUACCGAUUAUUCAGAUACAACUUUAUUUCGCACAGAUGUAUGAGAAUUGGGUAAAUUGCACUAAAGGUCUCUAAAAUUAAAAAUUUAGUUUGGAGACUGUCUGCGUUAAUUUCGCUCAGGCAUCAUUUGAGAUAGGCCAUGCCAAACUAGGCCCCGCCCUCAACUACACGCCACGCCCUCAUCAACAGAACAUUCCAAACUUGGUCCCCUAACAUUUCUUCUUCUUCUUCUUUUUUUUAAAAAAAAGAGUUUAUUUUUUGUUUUAAAUUUUUUGAUAAAUUGAGAUGUUUUAGUGAAAUAUAUUAAGAAUUUUAUCAGAUUUUCCGUGAUUCCAUCAAAUUUAAAAGUUUUGACCAUUCCUAGCAAUUGAAACUUGAAUAAUUUAUAACUAACUAGAAUUGCCCCAAUUAAACAACUUUAGAAGAUAAACAUAUGUUAAGAGUUGAGGAGUCAAAUUCAAAGGAGCCUAUGAUUGAGCGCGUCUUCAUAGAGAUCUACCGAUUAUCUGCUCAUGUAUGCAGCAACCAGAGCUAAACUAUGUUUAUCAGGGCAAUAAUUCGCCCUUUUUUUUUUCAUGAUCUUAAGAACAUGGUUAUAAGCUUUAAUUAAAAUUACAGAGCUUGAUAACAAGUCGAACAAGUUUAUGACAAAAAUAAAUAUAUAUUAUAAGCACAGUCCCAAAAAAUUGUGGGAGCAUCAGAUUUAAUUACUUGGUAUCAUAUUACACGAACGAGCCAUAUUUCAUGCGGAAUAUAUUAAACAAAUAUGAAAAUACAUGAUGUGCAACAUAAUAUUUGACGCAUAUUGGGUGCAAUUAAUUCUAUGCACAUAUGCAUUUUGACUGUUCAAAUUGGAUGGUCCAAAUAGAACGAUCAGUCUUGAUUGAUAUAUAAGGUAUAUAUUUCAUUCAGUUACAUAUUUUAUUAGGAAAUAAAUCCAAUUUCAUUUGUUCCCUUUGUUUUUAAUAAAAUAGAAAUCAUUCACUAGGCUCAGCCUAAAUCUAAUAUUCAUAGUAAGGGUACCGACCGUCCCUAGAGCAAGUGACAAACGGCUUGGUGGUUGGUAUCCGACACUCAAGUUCGAAUCCUAGUUGAUUUACAUUUCUAGCUAAGUUUAUUUCUAAGUGAAAUAAAACGAAGUAGGUAGUAUGCUAUCUAUUUCUCAUAUAUAUAUAUAUAUAUAUAUAUAUAUAUAUAGAUAUUAGAAAAAAAAAUGUCGAGCUCAAUUAUAAAAAGAUUCAUUUAUAUAUAAAGUUGCAACUAUUCGAUCAAAAUCUAAUAGGUAAGAUUUUAUAAAUUUAUUUUUUAUUUAUAUAUCCAAUCUAAUUCAUUUAAUUUAUUGUUCGUUGGUCAGCUCGUGUUCGACUCGUUUAUUAAUGAGUCGAACACAAGUUGAAUUUUUCGGCUUGAUACUUUAACGAGUCAACUGGUGUUCAGCUCGAACACGAGUUGGCUCCAGCUCACUCGUGUUCGGCUCGUUAAUACUUAGAUCUUAGACAUCAUGAAAGCGCAGUUUGAAUAUCAAAAUAAGUUAUUCAAAGAGAAGAAUUGCUUGGGUGAUUAUAAGAAAGAAGUUUAAUUUUUUUCUCCAAGAAAAGAAUUUGAUAUCCAUAGUUAGAUAGCAUGAUAUAUUUUAUUUAUGAGAUUAUUUAAUUAUCUUAUCCAGAAAAUGACUUUCACAGGCUGCAUUAAUAUCAAAUUUUAAAUUUUUGAUCACACUGCUCAUAUAUUAAUAUUAUGUACAAAAUUUUCAAAUAAUAUUUAUAAAAUAUAUCAAAUAAGGUAUUCAUAAAUCCAAAUAGGGCCGAAGUUAGGACGGUAUAAACCAAGUUCAUUCAUCGAAACCAAACCGUACCUAACAACACGUCUUUUAUUAGAUAGUAACUGCCAAAGAGGACGGACCUGGACCAUGUCUCGUGGGCCUACUACCAUGUCUCGCGGAGGACCAUGUCGGUCCAUGAGAACACCUAAUAUUUUUUUAAAAAAUUUUAUUUUAAUAGAAUUAAUUUUUUUAAACCAUAUUAUUUAUUUAUGUAUAAUUAAUGACUAGUUAUUGUAAUAGAAUAAAAUUUUCUCAUUAUAGUAAUAUUUUUUUAAAAAAAGAUUUCUUUUUCAUUAUUGUUAAAAAUUUUUUGAUCCGUCUUUGUUUUCUCCAUCUUAUUAUGGUACAAAUUAAGAGAAAGCUAGAGUACUAUUAUAUACAACCCUUUGUUAAGAUAUUGGUGUGGCUAGGUCGAGUUAGGCUCAACGACAAGCCAUUAUUUCCACCCUAGUGUGCGCGCAUACACAAUUUGCAUUGCAUAAAGAGACACAUGUGAUCCAUUUUAUAGUACUAAUAAGCAACACUAGUACACAAUACUUAAGGAGAACAUUCAAUUGUAGAUAUUCAAACUUACAUGCUCACUGGACACACCGAAACAGAACAGAAACCACAAUGUCGAAGCAAGCUUAGCAAUUGGAUGCAGCUAACAUCCUUAUUUAUGUAAGUUAAGCAAACAAGAUAGCAAACUGCAGUGCAUUGCUAAAUCAUUUGCUUCCGACUUAUGCGUAGCUUCAAGUUUCAGAAACCAUCUUAAUAACUUCGACAUUGGCCCCUGAUUGUAGAGUGGGAUAGAGAGGAGCCAUGGCGAUUCCACAUAAUCCAGAUGAUGAUGACACACCUCUUGCCAUACGGACGUAUCCACGCUCACCCCAUGAGCUACCCCACGAGUUCCUUACUAUCCAAUAUUUUGUUCCACUGCUAUCCUGCCCGUAACCUAUAAUGGUGAUGGCAUGAUUGAGACUAGUUCCACAAGGUCCGCUAUACACACCGCCUCGGUAAUAUUGAAAGUUGUUUCCGCUGGCAUCGAUAAGAGCAGCUAUUGGUUGUUUCGACACAGCGUACAUCAUGCUGCGUUCGUUGUUCCUUUGCACAUAUGUAUAACCAGUAAUGUAAGCUGAGUUGGGCACGCUAUUGGCAGCGCAAGUGCCUUUGUAUCCUUGAUAAGGAUAGUAAGCUGCGGAGGUCACACCAUUGUUAGAUAUGAUGAAAUCGUAGGCCUUGUCCACCCAGCCGCCUUUGCACCCGUAGCUAACAGCACAAUCGAGAACUUCUUGCUCCGAUAGAGAUACUAAGUACCCUGUUUUGAUCUUGUAGAUUCCUUCCACUGUUGCAAUUGCACUGAAUGCCCAGCAAGAACCUAUGCCAAAACAAAGAUAUGCGUUCGCAUAACUACUGUUAGCAAAGUUAUAUAUGAUAUAGCCAUGAUAUAAGGAAACAUUCAAACUGACAUAAUUAGAUGUUAUUUGCAAGUACAGAGCUGCUUUUAACUUGUUUCAAUAGUUGUCAUGCAUAUGGAUGUCCUGUUCUUUCUGACUAGCACUUACUUUGCUUACUUCAGUAAUAUGAUUAUUGCAGUAACUUAAUUAAUAGUAAGAGACCCAGCAAUAGAUCUAACUUGCAGAUAGAUUGAAUCGAGUCGAAGCCUGUGAACAUUGUGCUUGAAUUCUUAAAUGCGAUGGAUGUGUCCUUUUUAUCACCAUGUAUGUAUUUUUGGAUGGUUUAUUAGCACUUACAUAUACAUUUGAUGGCUAAGUUGAUUUUUUAUUAACUAGAUUCAAUACUUCAUUUCCUUGUACACUGAUAAUAUGUGAUAAUACAUGUUUAGACCCUUUUAAUCAGCCAAAGUAAUGGAAUCAUUGAGUUUUAAUGGGUGGAAAUUUGGUCCUUUUGUCCAAAAAAGGCAUAAGGCAUUCGGUAGCAAGCAUAUUUGAUCUAAGCAACAUGUUAUAAAGUUAACUAAGAAUAGAUUUUUUUUUUUUCUAGCUGAAGAAAUGAAGGUGCUUUGAUAAUUUAUAGUCGAGAUUUCUUACCACAGCUGCCUUGAUUCCUGACACUUGUUACAGCACCAUAGUCUCUCCAAUCAAUACUUUGAGCCACCGCGGAGAUGUCUACGUCAUCAAACGACUCCACUAGCUCUGUCUCGAUAUUUAGUGGGAGAGAUACUCCAGUAUAUUGAGAAAUAAAUUCGUUAUUUGUCUUAUCGGUAAACUGAUUGAUACCGAGAGUGUACGAAUUUUCGCUAUGGUUGUUAAAGGUUUCAAUAUGGUUCACGUUGUUCUUGAAUAUCUGAAACCGCCGCAUCUUCUCGUCGUUGUCAUUGUAAACUCGGCCGUACUGAGCCAUCCAUUCUUCAAACCUCUUCAUCAUGGGGUCACUGGGUUCGCCAUGAGAAGCUGCCGAUGGCGAAGCCCACAUCACACAAAGAAACGAGAAAAGAAACAAAAGUUGAAAUUUGGAAGCCAUGCAUAUACAUAUGUAGCACUAAAUAUCUAGUAUAUGUAUGAGGAAAUUGGAGAUCGAGCUACAAGAGCUUGCUUUUGGUGCUGAGAGUAUGGUCUCAAGAUUGUGUUUUUAUAGAAGUUCAUGCCUACGAAUGUAGUUGGGAGUAUUAAUGGGUGGAGGCCUGCAAGAUUAAAUAGUUGUGGACCGCUUGCAACACCACGUCAUGUGGUCAUGUGGUAAUCACGAAAGAAUAAUGUUUCUCUACUUACUCCCACAUUUUAUCCUUGUAAUUUCUUUCAUAGGACAUAAGAUCAUCUUAGGUGCAAGCGAAUGGAACAUACGUUUCUCCAUUUCUAUCUCUUAACUCUUUAACCUUAAUCUUUCAUGCAUAAGCUAUAUUAUUUCUUGUUGUUUAUUUUUCCAUCGAGUAAGCACCAACGCAGGAAAUAAAAAGUCCACAAGUGGUUUAGCCCAUUAUAACUUUAUUUAGAAGCCUAGUAUCAUUCGAACUCAAGGCUACUAGCUUGCUCUAAUAUUGUACAAAAUAAUGUAAUACAACUGUUGUUCUCAAAAAACUGAAAAAUGACACAGAGCACUAGGUACUAAGUUUAAAUCUGAUCAGACUAGUUUCAUUUAACUUCGUUUCAUCUAAUUUAAGUGAAUUCAAAUUCAUAUUUUAAGUCUAUUAAAAUAUCUUGAGUCUAAACUUAAGAAAGAGUGUUGAUUUUAAAUAUUAAAAAUAUUUCUUUUCUUAUGGCUAUCCCUUAAGAAGAAGAUCCCCAUGGCCGAUAAUUUACUGAAAAAGGGAUGGUUGGGUGAUCCCCUCUGUGUCCUCUGUGGUGAAGUUAUGGAGACGGUGGACCACCUCCUUAUAGGAUGUGUGUACACUAAGUUUAUGCUUUUUCGAACCUUGGAGGACAUCCAGUGUUUACAGACUAUGGAGGACGUACCGAUGAUCUGGAGUAAAAUCACAAGAAUUAUUAGGUCGGGGGAGAUUUUGCAGGAUCUGAUUACCGAAGCAGUGUGCUGGUGGUUAAUCUGGAAGGAAAGAAAUAACGUGAUUUUUAAAAACCACUUUGCUGACCCUCUCUUCGUAGUCGGACAUAUCAAGGAGUUGGUAAGAGAGUGGAGGGACUUUUGUUGAGCUGUAUAACCUGUCGAUUACUUUUGUUGCUAUUUCUCUUUUCUUUUUCUUCUUUAUUUGAGCUAUAUUUUUCUUCUCGAGGCCAUGUUGACUCACUGUUUGUAGCCAAAUUUAUUUUCGAAAUGAAUGAUGCGGGUAACGUGCUACCUUUUUCUCAAAUAUAUAUAUAUAUAUAUAUAUAUAUAUUAUAUACUUUGCAAAAUUAAGUUUUUAGAGAUAAAUGAUUCUAUUUUUUUUUCCAUAUUAUAAUGAGCGAUUAUAAUCUAAUUCCUACUAGGGAUGCAAACGGGGCGGUCUGGGGCGGGAAGUUCCUCCACCUCCCGUUCAUUUUUUAUCUGGGCGGGAGCGGUCGGAGGCGGGUUACUUUUCAUUAUUUUUGGUUCCCACUUACCGCUCCAUUCGGAGGCGGAUCGGAGCGGGAGCCGGAUUUUUGACGGAUCGGGCGGAUUGAAGAAGAAAAGAGUCUCCCACCUCCCGCUCCAUUUACGUUGGCGAUCGGGAACGGAUUCGGGACGGUUAUAUUUUUUAUAUAUUUUUGUUCCACUUUACCACUCCAUUCGGGCGGAGCUCCACCAACCCGGAUCCAUUGGCACCCUAAUUCCUACUUUAAUUACCAUUAGAAAAUAAAUAAUAUACCUAAUUUAUAAUGAUUUUACUCCAACCACUUUUCAUCUACUAGCAUGCUCCAUUCCACGUGUCCUAAGUUAGAAGACAAUCCAAAAUAUGAAGAACCCGAGUUAAAGAUUGCAGUAAAGUUAAUUUAAUGAUAACUUCAAUUUAUAUACCUCCAUGAUUUAGUGGAUUUUUUACAUUUGUUCUCUGUGUUCAAAAAUUUUACUUAAUUAUCAUGUAAUUUAUUUUAUUUCACAGAUAUGAUAGAAUCUAACAUAAAGUUAGCAAAGUGAAUUUAUUUUAAAUAAAGUUAUAAAGUGGUAUCCGUUAAAAUAAACUUUACAAUAAAAUAAAAUUAAUAUUAUGGAUGUUAAGUAUAAUAUUGAACUUUUCAACCAUGUAAAAAGUGAUUAAAAACAUUAAACAACGGUACGAAAAAUUAAGAAUUAUCUAAUUUAAUUCAUCGCACUAACUCGAUCCAAUUCAUUCAUUUCCUUGAUCCAAGAUUCCACAAUCUCAUUCUCCCCAAAUAUUUGAGUGCAAAUAUAACAUAUGUUACAAAAGUCAAACGCAUUAUAAAUUUUUUGUAUAAAUUUUUAAACUCUAUAAAAUUAAUCAAAUAAUUAAAUUUGAUUUUAAAUUUUUUUAGAGAAAAGAUAAUUAGUUACACUUUUGUUCAUUUUGUGAUUUUUUUUUUCGAGUAAAAUCUAAUAAGAGAUUUAGUGCCAACAUGCAUGUGUGUAAUUAUUAAGUAUUUUAAGAAUAUAUCAGUUAUAUGAUGAAGUUGCAUUUUCAACCAAUCAAGUAAUUUGUUUAAAUUUAUCUCUUUCAUCAAAUUAUUAAAAAAUAAUAUUAUUAUAUUUUAAAAAUAUAAUUAAUUUAUUAUUUGAUAAUAUAUAUAAAUAUAAUAUAGUAAAUUUUCGUCAUCAUAUUUGUUUGGACCGAUGUAAUCAGGUAGGGGACAAUCACUCUGGGGGGCGUUUGGAUUGACGAAUUUUUGUAGAUUCUACAACGUAUAGUCAAGUGUAUGUGUUGUGAGUUUUCCCUGAUGGUGAUUAUUUUUCUGUGUUUGUUUUGACAGUAACUCGUACCACUGAAAGUUAAAUUCAAUCACUUCUGCUGUUUGUUUUGAUGUAACUUGGUGCUGGUAAAAUUAGUUUUUUGAGUUCCGUUGUUUGUUUUGAUGUAAGUAAGUGGAUCCCAUUAUCUCCUAAAUAUAGUAAUAAAUUUAUCACUAUAAAAUUUAACCUAUUAUAUAAUUAAAUUUUUUAUUAUUAUUUAAAGAUAAUCUUAAUUUAUUAUAAAUAAGGUAAUUCUAACCCAUUAUAAAGAAAGUAGAGUUUAGGUUUUACUGUUUAAUAAAUUGUUUAGAGAAGGUUGAGUGUGGUGGAAGUCGAGUUCGGUACUUUAGAGCCGGAAGUCGAGAGUAGGUGAAGUGGAGCUCUAACGUAACUUGAGUUACAUUAUAUUUUUCACUUACACCAAAACAAAUAACGGAAGUGAUGGAACUUGAGUUCCAUCACUCCACUUACACCAAAAUAAACGGGCCCUCUAUGCACAAGAGUUAUUGCAAUUGAUGUGUUGUUUAUUGGGACAAAAAUUUUAUGGGCAUAGCCCCAAAACCAAUUAGUUUGGGGACUAUGCCGAUCGGUGCCACGUGACUGAUCCGACCGCCACAGAUGGAAAGACAAAAAAGAAAUCCUGUGUUUUUAGAGAGAGAGAGAAAAUAAUUGAAAUCCGUGGCCGUCGGAUCGGCCACAUGGGGCCGAUCGGCAUACUCCCCAAACUAAUUUUGUUUGGGACUAUGCCCAUAAAAUUUUUGUCCAGCUGAGCAUGUGUUGCACAACUUAAGGAGGAGUGAUAAGAGAGGCGAGCAUUAUAAAUUAUCAAUGCCGUCCAGUCUCUCUUAAAUUAUUAUGAAUAUAUUACAAAAACCUUUUAAGAGAAUAGUCUUUAUCAUAAAUAAUGUUGAUAGUUGCAAAAUACUUAUUUUGCCAUUGACUAUUAUAUAUAUUAUUAAUGUGGCUUAAAUUUUCUAUAAGGACUUGUUUGGUUCAAGGGUGGAAUUAGAGUAGAUAAUGAAAUGGAAAUGAAUUGGAAUGGUAAUUAGAAUGAUCCAUUCUCCCAAGACGUUUGGUUUAUUUGUGGAUUGAGAAUUGAAAUGAGUUAUUCACAUUUCAUUGUUUGGUUCGUAUAAACUAAAAAAGUUAUAGGAUACUAUAAUACUAAUUUUACUCUCAUAUAUAAAUUUAUAUUAUUUAAAAUUUAUGAAAAAUAUAAUACUAUUCUCUAAUAAGUUUUUCAAAAAAAAAAUCAAAUUUAUUUUUAAAAACUUUUAUUGAUGUGGGUUAGGAAUAGGAUUUUGAGAGAUGAUAGGUUUUUUUUUUUAUUUUUUUUCUGAUGAGAAAAGGGUGAAGAGAAGGAAGGNGGUGAGAUGGUCACAUGGGUUUUGAGAACUUAGUAGACUUCCGGAAUGAAAUAUCAAUCUAGGCUAAAAGACCGGAAUCAAGUUGAGGGCUAAUGGGCCAUUCCCAUUCCAGUCCGGAAUAGGAAUCCCAAUCCGAUUCAUGCGAACCAAACAAAAUUAACCGGAUUUAAUCAAACUGAUUUCCAUUCCAUAUCCAAAAUGGAUGAACCAAACAAGCCCUAAGUGAUAUUCAAAAUUUAAAAACGACGAUAUUGGCCCAGGCUAUUCAUGGAAUGAGGACCGCUCAACGGACCCUACAUAUUUUUUGAAAAUGCCCUCUAAAUAUUUUAUCAAUAAUUUUUAUUAUCAUGCAUGCAUCACAUGAAUAAUUUAAAAACAAAAAUAAAAAUAAAAAUUAGAAUUAAAACUAAAAUUAAAAUUUAAUAAAGAUAUAAAUUUAAAUUUUAAAUUUGAAUUUAAAUUUUUAAUUUAAAGCUGCAAUCAAUUUUAAAUCUAAAUUUAAAUUUGAAAUUAAAUAUAAAACUAAUUCAACAGCUAGAUUUGAAAUUAACAUUAGUGUAAUUCUUAAUUUUGAAUUCAAUUGAAUUUAAAAAUUAAUAUUAAAAUUCAAAAUUCGAAUUUACAUUUGAGUGUAUCUAAUAUCAAAGUUUAAAUUGAAAAUUGACUUAAAGAAAUAUAAGAAAUAUAAUUAUAAAUUUUGGAACUACUUAGAGAUAAAAUUGAAUAAUUUAAAAUUUAACUAGUGGUAAACUAAUUUCGAGCUAAUCAAGAUUAGCAUAACACUCUGUGUUGUGAGAUAACAUGAGAAAUAUUUAUGGUAUAGCACAUUCUAUUGAAAGAGCGUAUAUGAUAAUGUGAUAUUUUUUAGAAGCAUUCGCGAUAGUUUAAGAUUUUGAGUGGUUAUAAAAUUGCCCCGAAAAAUAUUGGCGGUUCGAACUCUCACGAGCAUGUUUCAAAAUUUAGAAAAUUAAUCUCCCUGACUUUCGACGGUGUUCUUAAGGUAAGGAACUUUAGAGGGAAAAAGUUACAUACUUAAUUAGAGGGAAAAAGUUACAUACUUAAUUAGAGGGAUCGCAUUUCGGAAAUUUGAAGAUGAGUUUUUCGCCAAGUCCAGAUUUCACACUUAGAUACAUAAUAAUAAUAAUAUGAUUUGAACACUCAUAAAAGAUGAUAACAUGCGUGUACGCACUUUUAAUAUGCACAAGACAUAGACUAUAACGAAGGUAUGUUGGUAUAAGUAAAAUUUACCUUUGUCCAAAUAAUAGGUGAAAGAUGGAAAAAGUAAUGAGAUUUGAAUUCUUUUUUUUUACCCUCAACUCAGUUGGUUUGUUCUUGUUAUAGUGGCAUCCGACUGCAACAUACAUAUAUACCGAUUAUAUACUCAGAUACAAGUUUAGUUCGAACAGAUAUAUGAGAAUUUGGUAAAUUGCACUAUAGGUCUCUAAACUUUAAAUUUAGUCAGGCUAAAUUACAGAAAAUUUCUUUGUCAAUAUCUGCUUUUUUACUUUUUCUCUCCGUCAUUCAAAAAUCUAUACUUCGUCCCCUUAAAAAGUAAAAAAUAUUCAUUUCGGUUCUUGCCGUCAGUGUUCCAUUAAGGUUCCGUUUAUAUUUUAUUUUUUAAAUUCAAAAUUGUUAGGAUUUGGUUAGAUUUGUAGUUGAAUCCUAUUUUGGAUAAGAAUUAAUAUUUAAAUCUGUUGGAGAUAAAUUAAGAUUUAAAUAUUAAUUAGAGUAUAAAUCUAAAUAGAUUAGAAUUAAUAUUUAAAUCUAUUAGAGAUUAAAUUAAGAUAGAUUUAUAUAUUAAUUAAAGUCGGAAUUCUAAAUAUACUAGGAUUGGGUAUGUUUUCGUAGGUGCUAUAUAUAUAUAGCAUUGGAGCUAAUUAAUUAGCAAGAAGCCAAGAAGGCUGUGAGGUGUACUGCCAAGAGAGAGAUUCUCUUUGGGGUGUGAAGUACCUGAGAGAAAAAGAGAGAGUUAUCCAAUGAGUUGAGUACACCUAGUGCACGGGUGCGCGUAGAGAAUUGUCUACUUUGUGGGAUUAUAGAAGACGAGAGAAGGGUAGAAAAGAUUCAAAAUAAGGGCUCGGGUUGUAGCUACUCUGUUGCAGAAGAGGAGUCAGAUGUAAUCUUUUCUUAUUUAAUGAAUUUUAUUUUACCUGCAUAUUUUUCUUUUUUAUUAUUAUAUUAGCUUUUUCUGAAGAGACGAGUUUAUGGUGAAAACCCGAUUUGACGUUUUCGUUGCGGAAUCCCAAUAAUCUGUUGCGGAUUCAUAAGAUCCGGUACCGGGACAAGUACCGGAUUCCCAACAAUUAGUAUCAGAGCUGAAGGUUACCGAUCCAAGGGAGAGAUCGGCGAAAAUGGCCACGAAAUUCGAAAUCAAGAAGUUCGACAGCAAGAACAAUUUCGGAUUGUGGCAAAUUAAAGUACGGGUAAUCCUCGUACAGCAAGAGUUAGACGAGAUGUUGAACGGGAAGGAGGCGAAGCCGGUGGAGGUCACGGAUGCGGCAAGGACGAAGAUGGAGCGGAAGGCGCUGAGCACGCUUCAUCUAUUAUUAGCAGAUGAGGUUCUUUACAACGUAGCCAGCGAGACGACACCGACAAAGUUGUGGAAGAAAUUAGAUGAUCUGUACAUGACCAAAUCCUUGACAAACAGGUUGUCUUUGAAGCAACGAUUGUUUACGCUGCGGAUGCAAGAAGCGGCAAGUCUACAUGAGCAUCUAAACGAGUUCAACAAGGUGGUGGCCUAGUAGACUAGCAUCGGAGUCAAUCUGGAUGACGAAGAUAAGGCGCUGAUUUUACUAUCUUCGCUACCGGCGACAUAUGAGCAUCUAGUGACCACAUUGCUUUAUGGCAAGGAGACCAUAAGCGUGGAGGCAGUCACAGGGGCGCUUCUCUCGAACGAGAUGCGGAAGAUGACUCAGGAGUCCGGCAUGCAGAGACAGGAUACUGCUUGGUGGUGAGAGCGAAGAAGGAGACGACAACAUCAGCGACUGAAGAUCGACAGAAGAAGUCACUAUUCGAGGUGGAGUGCUUUUACUGUCACAGGAAAGGACAUAUCAAGCGCAAAUGUCGGGAACUUCAGAAUGAUCUGAAGGAGUUAAAGCGACAAAAGGAGAAAACUGUCGUGAACCAGAACGAGGCGAUAACAGCGAUGGCGCAGGCGGCAAAGUCGGAGAUGAUCGAUUCUGAUGUGCUAUAUGCGGCGACCGGAGGUGCGAAAAUUUCGGAUGAUGCGUGGGUGCUCAAUUCGGCGUGUUCCUUUUACGUAUGCCCGGAGGAGGUGUCUUUUGCCACCUAUAAGGCGAUCAAGGGUGGAAAAGCUCUGAUGAGGAACGGGACGGCGUGCAAAGUUUUGGGAGUCGGCACGGUAAAGAUCCGAAUGCACGAUGGGAUCAUGAGGACGCUGACAGGUGUGCGACAUGUUCCUGGAUUGAAGCGGAAUUUGAUCUCGUUAGGCACGUUGGACUCGAAGGGUUGCGAUAUUUCAGUUUCAGGUGGAGCUAUGAGGGUCUGAAAAGGAGAUCGGGUCAUGUGCGAGGCGAACAAGCGUGGGAAUUUAUACGUUCUGAACGGGAGCACAGUCAGAAUAGAAGGAAAGACGGUUUGGGUUCCAAAAGUUCGCGGAUGUGCAGUCGCUCGAGGCGAAGCAACGGAUGCAGCAACAUCGAGCGGAGAAGACAAGCUCAAGGUGGAGCUUGCAUGGUAAGCUCGAUGUAGCGGUUGAAGACUACAAAUUCAACCAAGGUGGAGAUUGCUAGGAUUUGGUUAGAUUUGUAGUUGAAUCCUAUUUUGGAUAAGAAUUAAUAUUUAAAUCUGUUGGAGAUAAAUUAAGAUUUAAAUAUUAAUUAGAGUAUAAAUCUAAGUAGAUUAGGAUUAAUAUUUAAAUCUAUUAGAGAUUAAAUUAAGAUAGAUUUAUAUAUUAAUUAAAGUCGAAAUCCUAAAUAUACUAGGAUUGGGUACGUUUUCGUAGGUGCUAUAUAUAUAUAGCUGGGGCUAAUUAAUUAGCAAGAAGCCAAGGAGGCUGUGAGGUGUGCGGCCAAGAGAGAGAUUCUCUUGGGGUGUGCCGUACCUGAGAGAAAAAGAGAGAGUUAUCUAAUGAGUUGAGUGCACCUAGUGCACGGGUGCGCGUGGAGGAUUGUCUUCUUUGUGGGAUUAUAGAAGACGAGAGAAGGAUAGAAAAGAUUCAAAAGGAGGGCUCGGGUUGUAGCUAAUCUAUUGCAGAAAAGGAGUCAGGCGUAAUUUUCUAUUAUUUAAUGAAUCUUAUUUUAUCUGCAUAUUUUUCUCUUUUAUGAUUGUAUCAGAUUUUGCUGAGAAGACAGGUUUAUGGUGAAAGCCCGAUUCGACGUUUCCGUUGCGGAAUCCCAACAAUCUGUUGCGGAUUCACAAGAUUCGGUACCGGGACGAGUACCGGAUUCCCAACAAAAAUAUUUCUAAAAUUCUCAUCCAUACCCACACACAUAUGCCACCUCACUCUGGCCCACCCCUCUGUCCAUGCGUAGAUGCACACCCUUGCUCUCUGCCGCCGGAAUGAACAAGAUUGGGAAGAAGGACAUAAAGAAAAUGAGGACAAUUUGUUCAUUUUAUCACACAAUAUUUAUUUAUAAAUAUUUUUAUUUUUCAAAAAUAUAAAGUUUAGAUUUUUAAACGACAAAAAAAAAGAAAAACAGUUAUUGGCCUAAGGUUUUUAUAUAAUUGAGCCAUUUAGUUAAUGCGGAGACAGUCCAAACUGAAAAAUUCUAGAAUGCAACGGGUAUAUUAGUGGCGUGGCGUAACAAACCAAUCAAAUUAAUCUUUUUAAGAAUAUAUGUCCCAUCAUGAUUGUAAAAAAGUAUUUUUAUUGUACUUUUGUUUGAAAAGAAUAAAUGUGAUUGGCUUGUUAUUGAUGACGUGGUGCAAAUGUGACAGUGUAGAAUUCCUCUUCCAAACUAGGCCACGCCCUCAGCUCCAGAACAUUCCAAACUAGGUCCCAAAACGUUUCUUUUUUUUUAAAAAACAAGUUUAUUUUUGUUUUUUAUUUUUUUGAUAAAUUGAGAUGUUUAAAAUAUAUUAUAAUUUUUUAUNUUUAAAUCUAAAUUUAAAUUUGAAAUUAAAUAUAAAACUAAUUCAACAUCUAGAUUUGAAAGUAACAUUAGUGUAAUUCUUAAUUUUGAAUUCAAUUGAAUUUUUUCAAAAUUCGAAUUUACAUUUGAGUGCAUCUAAGAUCAAAGUUUAAAUUGAAAAUUGACCAAUAAUGUAAGCUGAAUUGGGCACGCUAUUGGCGUUACAAGUGCCUUGGUAUGCUUGAUAAGGAUAGUAAGCGCGCUUCGGAGGUCACACCGUUGUUAGAUAUGAUGAAAUCGUAGGCCUUGUCCACCCAGCCGCCUUUGCACCCGUAGCUAACAGCACAAUCGAGAACUUCUUGCUCCGAUAGAGAUACUAAGUACCCUGCUUUGAUCUUGUAGAUUCUUUUCACUGUCGCAAUUGCACUGAAUGCCCAGCAAGAACCUAUGCCAGAACAAAGUUUUACGUUAGCAUAACUACUAUAAGCAAAGUUAUAUAUGAUAUAGCCAUGAUAUAAGGAAACAUUCAAACUAACAUAAUUAAACGUUAUUUGCAAGUACAGAGCUGCUUUUAACUUGUUUAAGAUUUUGAGUGGUUAUAAAAUUGUCCCUAAAAAUAUUGGCGGUUCGAACUCUCAUCACGACCAUGUUUCAAAAUUUAGAAAAUUAACUAGUAGAGGGAAAAAGUUACAUACUUAGAGGGAUCACAUUUCGGAAAUUUGAAGAUGAGUUUUUCGCCAAGUCCAGAUUCCACACUUAGAUACAAAAUAAUGAUUUGAACACUCGUAAAAGAUGAUAGCAUGUGUGUGCGCACUUUUAAUAUGCACAAGACAUAGACUAUAACGAAGGUAUGUUGGUAUAAGUAAAAUUUACUAUUGUCCAAAUAAUAGGUGUAAGAUGGAAUAAGUAAUGAGAUUUGAUUUCUUUUUUUUACCCUACAACUCAGUUAGUUUGUUCUUGUUACAGUGGCGUCCGACCGCAACAUACAUGUAUACCGAUUAUAUACUCAGAUACAAGUUUAUUUCGAACAGAUAUAUGAGAAUUUGGUAAAUUGCACUAUAGGUCUCUAAACUUUAAAUUUAGUUAGGCUAAAUUAUAGAAAAAUCUCUCUGUUAACAUCUGUUUUUUCACUUUUCCUCCAUGUCAUUUAAAAAUCUAUACUUCGCCCCCUUAAAAAAUAAAAAAUAUUCAUUUCGGUUCCUGCCGUCAGUGUUCUGUUGAGGUUCCAUUUAUAUCUUAUUUUUUUAAUUCAAAAUAUUUCUGAAAUUCUCAUCUAUAUCCACACACAUAUGCCGCCUCGCUCUGGCCCACCCCUCUGUCCAUGCGUAGAUGCACACCCUUGCUCUCUGCCGCCGGAAUGAACAAGAUUGGGGAGAAGGAAAUAAAGAAAAUUAGGACAAUUUGUUCAUUUUUAUCACACCAUAUUCAUCUAUAAAUACUUUUUAUUUUUCAAAAAAGCAAAGUAUAGAUUUUUUUUUUUAAAAAAAAAAGAAAAACGGCUAUUGGCCUAAGGUUUUCAUAUAAUUUAGCCAUUUAAUUAAUGCGGAGACAUUCCAAACUGAAAAAUUCUAGAAUGCAACGGGUAUAUUAGUGACGUAGCGCGGCAUAACAAACCAAUUAAAUUAAUCCUUUUAAAAAUAUAUGUCCCAUCAUGAUUGUAAAAAAGUAUUUUUAUUGUACUUUUAUUUUGAAAAGAAUGAAUAUGAUUGGCUUGUUAUUGAUGACGUGGUGCAAAUGUGACAGUGUAGAAUUCCUCUUCCAAACUAGGCCACGCCCUCAGCUCCAGAACAUUCCAAACUAGGUCCCAAAACGUUUCUUUUUUUUAAAAAAAAAGUUUAUUUUUGUUUUUUAUUUUUUUGAUAAAUUGAGAUGUUUAAAAUAUAUUAUAAUUUUUUAUCAGAUUUUCCGUGAUUCCAUCAAAUUUAAACAGUUUUGACCAUUUCUGGCAAUUGAAACUUGAAUAAUUUACUAAAAUUUUCAAGAUAUAUUUAUAAAAUAUAUCAAAUAAAAUAUUCAUAUAUUUACAUAGGGCCGAAGGUAGGACGGUAUCAAUCCAAAUUGGAUUAAACCAAGUUCAUUCAUCGAAACCAAACCAUACUUAACAAAACGUCUUUUAUUAGGUAACUGCCAAAGAGGAGAACCAUGUCGGUCCAGGAGAACACCUAAUAUUUUUUAAAAAAUUUAUUUUAAUAGAAUAAUUUUUUUAAAAAAAAUAUUAUUUAUUUAUGUAUAAUUAAUGACUAGUAAUUGUAAUAGAAUAAAAUUUUCUCAUUAUUGUAAUAUUUUUUUUAAAAAAAGAUUUAUUUUUCAUUAUUGUAAAAUUUUUUUUGAUCCGUCUCUGAUUUCUCCAUCUUAUUAUGGUACAAAUUGAGAGAAAGCUAGAGUACACAAUUGCAUUGCAUAUAGUUAAGAUAUUGGUGUGGCUAGGUCGAGUUAGGCUAAACGGAAAACCCUUAUUUCCACCCUAGUGUGCGCACAUACACAAUUGCAUUGCAUAAAGAGACACAUGUGAUCCAUUUUAUAGUACUAACAAGCAACACUAGUACACAAUAAUGAAGGAGCACAUUCAAUUAUAGAUAUUCAAACUUACAUACUGGCAGGACACACCGAAACAGAACAGAAACCACAAUGUCGAAGCAAGCUUAGCAAUUGGAUGCAGCAAACAUCCUUAUUUAUGUAAGUAAAGCAAAUAAGAUAGCAAACUGCAGUGUUGCUAAAUCAUUUGCUUCCGACUUAUUACGUAGCUUCAAGUUUCAGAAACCAUCUUAAUAACUUCGGCAUUAGCCCCUGAUUGUAGAGUGGGAAAGGAGAAGGAGCCAUGGCGAUUCACAUACUCCAGAUGACGAUGACACACCUCUUGCCAUAGCGGACGUAUCCACCCUCACCCCAUGAGCUGCCCCACGAGUUCCUUACUAUCCAAUAUUUUGUUCCACUGCUAUCCUGCCCGUAACCUAUAAUGGUAUGGCAUGAUUGAGACUAGUUCACAAGGUCCGUAAACACACCGCCAUGGUAAUAUGAAAGUUUUCAGCUGGCAUCGAUAAGAGCAGCUAUUGUUGAUUCGACACAGCGUACAUCAUGCUGCGUUCGUCGUUCCUUCGCACAUAUGAAUAACGCAUAAUGUAAGCUGAAUUAGGAAAGCUAUUGGCGUUGCAAGUGCCCUUGGAAUGCUAGAUAAGGAUAGUUUCUUCGGUGGUCACACCGUUGUUAGAUAUGAUGAAAUCUAGGCCUUGUUCACCCAGCCGCCUUUGCACCCUAGCUAACGACACAAUCGAGAAUUCUUGCUGCCGAUAAAGAUACUAAGUACCCUGUUUUGAUCUUGUAGAUUCCCUCCACCGUCGCAAUUGCAGCGAAUGACCAGCAAGACCCUAUGCCAAAACGAAGAUAUAUACGCAUAGCAUAACGACUGUAAGCAAAGUUAUAUCUGAGAUUGCUAUGAUAUAAGAAAACAUUCAAACUAACAUAAUUAAACUGUAUUUGCAAGUACAGAGCUGCUUUUAACUUGUUUUCAAUGGUUUCAAGCAAUAUGGAGGUCCUGUUCUUUUUGACUCACACGUACUUUGCUUACUUUAGUAGUAUGAUUAUUGCAUAACUUAAUAAUAGUAAGAGACUCAGCAAUAGAGCUAACUUGCAAAUAGAUUGAAUCAAGUCGAAGCCUGUGAACAUUGUCCUUGAAUCCUUAAAUGCGAUGGAUGUGUCUUUUUAUCACCAUGUAUGUUUUGAUAGUUAAUUAACACUUAUAUAUACAUUUGAUGCUAAGUUGAUUUUUUAUACUAGAUUCAAUACUUCAUUUCUUUGUACAUUGAUAAUGUUGUGAUUAUACAUGUUUAGACACUUUAAUAGCCAAAGUAAUGGAAUUAUUGAGUUUUAGUGGCGGAAAUUUGUCCUUUUGUCCAGAAAAGGCAGAAGGCAUUCGGGUAGCAAGCAUAUUUGAUCUAAGCAACAUGUUAGCAGCAUCUUAUAAAGUUAACUAAGAAUAGAUUUUUUUCUUUUUUCUAGUUGAAGAAAUGAAGUUGCAUUGACAAUUUAUAGUCUAAAUUAUUUCUUACCACAGGGGUUUUGAUUCUUGACCUCGUUUACGGCACCAUAGUCUCUCCAAUCAAUACUUUGAGGCACCGCGGAGAUGUUUACGUCAUCAAAUGACACCACUGGCUCUCUCUCGAUAUUUAGUGGGAGAGAUACGCCGGUAUAUUGAGCAACAAAUUCGCUUUUUGUCAUAUCGGUAAACUGAUUGAUACCGAGAGUGUACGAAUUUCCGUUGCGACUGUUAAAGGUUUCGAUAUGCUUCACGUUGUUCUUGAAUAUCUGAAACCGGCGCAUCUUCUCGUCGUCGUCCUUGUAAACUCGGCCGUACUCCGCCAUCCAUUCUUCAAACCGCUUCAUCAUGGGAUCAUUGGGUUCGUCACGAGAAGCUGCCGAUGGCGAAGCCCACAUCGCACAGAGAAACAAGAAAAGAAACACGAGUUGAACUUUGGAAG